AAUUAUUUUUUUAAAUGAAAAACUAACAUUUAAAAUCUGAAUAAAUCAAUCUAUUUUAUUUUAAAUUUGUUUGAGAUAAUAAUUAAAUAAAAAUUAUAAUAAAAAUUAUAUCAAAAUUAAAAUUAUUUAAAAUUUAAAUAAAUAGAUUUUUUUCAUAAAGUUUAUAAAAAAUAAAAAAUGAUUUAAUUUAACAACAAACAAGUGUCUAUAUAUCUACUAGAUAUCUUUCUAAAUAAAAUAAAACAGGUGUAUGAUAACAUAAUCCACUGUCUUUAGUAUCUUACUUUAUUUUUACUUUUCCUAUUAUUCUAUUGUUCUUGUCUUAGAAAGACUAUUACAAAUUGCUGAAAGAAUCCAAGAAAAAAAUUAUUAGAAAAAUGCAAAGCUUUAUAUUUCUGUUUCUGUUUUUUUUUCUCUAUAUAUACAUAUGGAAUGAGGAGGAUAAAAUUCGUUUCAUUUCACACAAAAAAAAUCUGCUUUAUAUAUAUUCGUUUGUAUUUUCUUAUGAUGCACGAGCCACUUGUGCAUAUUAAAUUUAUCAUAACAUUAGAUAUUUGUUUAAAAUCAUUAAUUAAUUGAAAAACGUAAUGUAAUUCUGAAAUACUUUUAAAAAUAUCCAUUAUAUUAAUCUUCAUCUUAAUCUUAAUUUAUUAUAAUUUAAUAAUAGUAUAAAUAAUUUUUUAUAGAUUGUUAAAUUAAUUUAUUUUAAUGUUAAAAUUUUUAAUAUUCAUUUUUUUUUGUAAUUUUAUGUUUAUCUUUCCUCUACUUUAAUCAUUGAAUAUAAUUAACUCUUAUAAUAUUUAAAAAUAUAAAAUGUUUUUGAUAAAUGUUAUUAAUAUGUGUCUCUUUUAAAACUAUAUUUUAAGUUUAACAAUUUAAUAUUCAAUAAUUUUAAUAUUAUAACCUUCAAAGUUAAAUCAAUUAAGUAAAAUCUUAAAAUAAAGAGAUAACUUUUUAAAAAUCAACUCUAUAUUUAAUAUAUAAAAAAUUCUAAACAACAUAAAUUUAAAUAAAAGACAUUAAAUAACUUUAAAAAAGUUAAAAGAGAACGGAGUAAGAAAAUAAUUUAUUCAAAUUAGAAAUAAGUGCCUAAAAUGAAAGGCUGCCACGUGUACAAAUUCUGUAAUCUGAACACACGGACGUUUAUUUAUUUAUAAGUAAAUUACACCGGUAGUUACUCAAGUAUUAGUUUAUUUCUUUUUUAGUUACUAAACUAUAAAAAGUUACAAAAUGGUUACCCAAUUAUUUAACUUUUUCUUUUUUGGUCACCAAUUGUUAAUUAAUAAAGAAAAGAUAACUUGAAAGCUUUUAAAAUUAGCAUAAUACCAACUUUAACACUCAAUAUUUAUAUAUUGUAUCAAUUUAGUCUUGAUUUUAAGAAAAUUAACCCUCAACAUUUACACAUUUUGUAAAAUGUAAGGGUUAAUUUUCUUAAAAUCAAGACUAAAUUGACACAAUGUAUAAAUGUUGAUGGUUAAAGUUGCUAUUAUGCUAGUUUUAAAAAUCGUCACGUCAUCUUUCUGUUAGCCAUUUAACGACCGGUAACAAAAAAAACAAAAUCAAAUAGUUAAAUAAUCAUUUUGUAAAUUUUCAUAAUUGGUUAACUUAAAAAAAAAAAAAAACUUUGCCGAUAGUUGAAUAACUGCUAGCAUAGUUUACCUUUUACUUAUUUAUCUAGAACCUUGUCAAUGACAUAUAAUAUACUAGCUUUCUUAACCCUUACGAUGCACAAGGUAAUAGUAUGUAUUAAUAAAGUAUAUUAUAAAUUCAUUAUAAAAUGAGAAAUAAAUGUAAACAUAAUAUUUCAAAAAUAAAAUUUUAAAAUUUUGUUAAAAGUAUUUUCUAAUAAAUUUGUUAACUUAUUAUUUUUGAAUUAAAUUAAAUGUCAUGGAUGGGUUUGCAGUAUGUAGUUCAACUUAUUUUAAUAUUAGAAUAUAAAAAAAAUUAACUUUAAAAUUUAAAAUAUUUUUAUACAAUAAUUCUAAGUAAUUUAUUUUAAAACAUGCUAAUUUUUAAAAACUAUUGAAAGCAUGAAUAUUUUAAGAAAAUUAAAUAUUUUUUAAAAAAAGUAUUUAUACCGUUACAAUAAUUAUUUAAUUUGAUAUUGAUUUUAAGAAAAUAUGAAUAUUAAAAGAUAUUUUUCUCUAAUGUAAUUGAAAUUAUGUUUUAAUUUUUAAAAACAUUAUAAUAUUAAUAAAAUUGUAAACUAAUAUAAUAAAAAUUAUGUUUUAAAUUUUAAAAACAUAAUAUAACCGUAUAAUGAGAUAAAGGAUAAAGAUUAAAACAUAAUAUGAUCGGAAGUCAUAAUUACGAAACACUUAUACUUGUUAUUGUUUAACAUUAUUCCGAUCACAAAAGGUCGUUACAGAGAGUAAUGUUGCCUAGUUCCCACCAAUUCUCUUCCGUAAAGUGCAUUGCAAAAUAAAUCUGUUGUGCAUCUGUGCAGACAGUUCCAUGAGGAAGCAAUUUAAAAAAAAAAGAAAAGAAAAGAAACUGGAUAAUAUAAUAAAAUAGUAUUUAUACUAUUAUCUAAUGUUUUGUUUUAAUUUUAAAUAUAUAUUUUUAACUUAACACAAUCAAAUGUCAAUUUUUUUAAAUGUAUUAAUUUAGAUAUUAAAAUAUACUAAAUAUAUUGAUGUUGUUCUUUUAAGAACGCACUGAAUUUUCUAAAUCAGAUAUGAUAAAAACGCACUGAAUCUGACUUGUUUCAGGAAUCAAGCCACUCAACCUUUGCUGCUGUGGAACCGCAUAUGGCUGAAGCUUUUGUUAUUUGGGAUUGUUUGUGAGUGAUGCAUUCUUUGAUGAAGAUAUUUCUGAGUACAGGUUAUUGAUACAAGAUUGUCAAAAUUUUGCAUUUCGAUUUCUAACACUCGCUUUUUGUUUGGAUUCGCAGUGAAGCUAAUAAAGUUACUCAUUCAUUCGCUCGAGUAGUUGUGUUUGAAUUAACCUGACGUUUGUCCUCUUUUGUCAUUUCUCUAUUUUUAUUAACGUACAUAAAAAAAUAUAAAAUGAAAAAGUAUGUUUUUUUUAUUUUUUUAUUGAAGGUAUGAAAGGAAGUAGGUUGAAGUAGAGAUUAAUUCAAAUUUAUGUUCUCGUGCUGGAAAAGCAGUGUAUUUUUAAUGAUAAGAUUGAUAUUUGGAAAUCAAAUUUAGACAUAAAAGGUAGAAUAUUUUAAUAAUGGAAGAAAACAUUAGAGCAAAACGGAUGCCUUAACGUUGGGCCCAAUUUCCGGCCCUUUAUAUAUACCCCUGCCAUCCCAUCCCCUUCGAUAUCUUCCGCAUUCAAUCAUUUUUAUUCCGCUAUUUUCUCUCUCCCCAAACACCCUUUUAAGCCAAAAAGAAGACAAUGGCCGAUCAGCUCACCGAUGAUCAGAUCUCUGAGUUCAAGGAGGCCUUUAGCCUAUUCGACAAGGACGGCGAUGGUCUCUUCUAAUCUGUUUCUCUUUUAACUUUUUCUCAAUGUUUUUCAUUUUUAGUAAUUUUCUUUCUUCGAUUCGGCUCUGGUUUGCUGAUCUAAGCAUCCUUCUUGUGCUUGUUUUUGUUAUUUUUUUUUAAAUUCUCCAUUUUCUUUUAUGUUUUGAAUGAUGCGAUGGAUCUAGGGUUCCGAUUUAUGAAUCUAUGAUUCUGCUUGAUCUAGUUUUUCUUUCGUUUCUUUGAUUUUGACUGUUGCUCUUAAUUCUUACCCCUUUAAUUUUUUUUCAUUUUCUUUAUUGUUCUCCUUUCUCGGUCGUCAUUGAUUUCAAUGUUUUUAUUGUUAGGCUUAGAUAUUUUCUAGAUGUAAACAUGCUUUCAUAGACCAUCAUUGUAUUGGUUAUUCGUUUCAUUUAUUUUCGAGUUUUGGAUUUGCUGAUUCGAUUUGGUUUGUGAUUCAAUGAUGAUUAAUUGUUCCAUUUGUGUAUAUCUUAAUCUAAUCAGCCAAGUUUCCAUGGAUUUUGGAUGUGAUUCCCUUUGAUAGAACUUUCGUUUUCAACCUAUAUUGAACUAUAGGAUCAUUGUUAGUAUUUUAUUUCACUUGCAUGUUAGUUGUAAAGCGAUUGAUUCAUGGUUCUAUCCUGAAAUUUAGCUUUUAUUGUCACGCAUAAUAGUUAUGAAUCUAGGAUUAAAAUGUGCUUGGCUUUUGUAGGUCAUGAAAUUUCAAGACUUGUUGUGAAUGAUUCAAUCGGUUAAUCUUAUGGUUUCUAAUCCUAAACCGUGAACUAAUAACAGUUCACACCUACGAGAUUAAUUGAUGAUAAGAGAACAUAUAUGAAUUAUUGUACAAUACAUUACAUGUAUUCUAUUUAUUAGCUAAUCCUUGGAUUAUCAACUUUCUUUCCUGGCUGUCUAUUCAUUCUGAAGCUUAUCAGUGGCUGUAAGAAUUGGACUAUACAUUGCUGAGUAGGCAUAUGCCUUCAUUUUAGGCAAAUUGGAAAAAUGGUCACUAUCCUCUACAGUUCUUGUUUUUCAAUGUAUUUAUCUUUGUUAAAUGUCUUGGCAGAGAUAUACGGGUUUAGAAAAGUUUGAAAAUCGUCUAGUAUCUUUCUACUUGAAAAAGUAUGUGCUUUUUUGUAUUCUUUAGGUAAUAUCACAUUCGCAUGCCUUUUUUUUCUGGCAAAAGGUACUUAACCUCUUCUUAUUCCAUAACCAAUAUUAUAAAAGACUAAUCGUGUUGCAUUUAUUUUUUCCAUCCUUGUUGCAGGCUGCAUUACUACCAAGGAGCUCGGGACUGUGAUGCGAUCACUUGGGCAGAACCCUACUGAGGCAGAACUUCAAGAUAUGAUUAAUGAAGUUGAUGCUGAUGGAAAUGGGACCAUCGAUUUUCCUGAAUUCCUUAACCUGAUGGCGAGGAAGAUGAAGGAUACUGAUUCUGAGGAGGAACUUAAAGAGGCUUUCAGGGUUUUUGACAAGGACCAGAAUGGUUUCAUAUCAGCUGCUGAGCUGCGCCAUGUCAUGACAAAUCUCGGUGAGAAGCUUACAGAUGAGGAGGUUGAUGAAAUGAUCCGUGAAGCCGAUGUUGAUGGUGACGGGCAGAUCAACUAUGAGGAGUUUGUUAAAGUCAUGAUGGCCAAGUAACUUUCUCACCAACCAUAACGAUGAACCAAACAUUGAUAAAAAAGGGAACAGGGCAGAUAGGUUCGCUAAGACUUAUAUCUCUGAAUAGGAACAUCCAUGUUUUUAAAUUAUUAGCUUUUGUUGUUGAUUUGUAUCUGUUUUCGUUUGAAUUAUUGCGGAACCUUAGUGUCAUACCCAUUUGCUCUGUUUUUUGUUCAGUAGUCCGGGUUGUCAGUGCUUAUCUAUUUUUUUUUUUUAAAUUUUUAUGUUUGUGAUUGGUUUCAUAACCUGGAACAAUUUCCAAGAAUCGAUGUUUUUCCUAAUGGUUUACUGGUCUUUUACGAUAUAUUUCGAAUAUAAAUUAAUUUAAUUUUUAUAUAUUUUUUAAGAUAAGGAUAUUUUGAUAAUUUUUUCUUUCAAACGCAAUCCUGAUUUUUUGCGUUAGGGUGGAAAAAUCAUUUUUUCGGCAGUUUUAACUCUAAAAAAGCCAUAUGUUUCGCUAUUUUUCCGGUGUGUAAGUAUUUUUUAACCCCAAACGCAGUAAAGAACGAAUCAGAAUAUUUUCUUCCAACGGCACGAAGUAUUCUGAAAACGGUAAAUCAUGGUAUCGGUAUUUGUACUUUGCUAAAGUAUUUUAAAUGGGCUAUUUUGAUUAUUGUUGUUAAUUGAGUUAGUAUUGUAAGUUAAUUAAAUAUUAAUAUUUAAAAAUUGAUGAUAAUAUUAUGAUAAACUAUUGUAAUAUUCUUAAUAUGAUAUAUUUAUAUUUUUUAAUUUUAUUUUACUUACAAUUUAAUCUUUUUUUUUCAUUUUAAUAUCAUAUUUAUUUCAUGUGUUAUUAUUAAUUAAUAUCAAAACAUAAGUUUCAUUGUUUAUUAUAUGUUAUUUUUAAAUUAACAUUUGUGUUUUAAAUACGUGGAUUUCACAUGCAUACGGGUGUAAUUGAAUUUCUAGUAUUGAUAAUAUUGGUGAUUGACUUGGUGUCACAAGUUAACUUGGCACUAACUCAAGAUUGAUAACGCUACCAUGAUAAACAUUUGUAAUGCAUGCAAUUAGUAUUCUUAAUAUUAAUUAGUUUCAAAUAGACCGGUCAUGGGCUUAGUUGGGUCGAGUUUGGAUCAAAUUGAUAUAAAUUUUAGAUCCAUUUUUUACGCUCGUGCCUAGUUCAGCUCGAAAAAUGGUCCUAAAAUUUAGCCCAAGUCUGGUCCAGAUUAAAAAUACUAAACCCAAGCCUAAUUCGAUCUACCCGUAUUAAUUUUUUUAGAUUAUUUUUUAUAUAAAAAUAAAAUUAAAAAAUAUAAUACAUCAAAUACACUAAAAACAUUAAAAUAAAUGUUUCCCAACAAAUUAAAAAUACAUUAAAAAUAUUUAUACUUAAAUAACAUUAGGAUAGUUGCAAUUUGGCAAGCAAAUACUUUUAAAAUAGUAGCAAAAUUAACAAUAAAACAAGAGUUACACAACACUCAAACAAUAACAACAAAAUAAUAGUAAUAUAAUAGUGAAAUGGUAGCAAAACAAUAGCGAAACAACAAAAAAAAAACAAAUUCGGGCUGAGCAGGUAAAAAAAUCUUACCCGAGACUUAAUCCAUUUACAAAACAGGCUUUGUUUUUUGUCCAUGCCUAUUUUUUAGGUCUAUAUUUUUAUCCAAGCCCUCGCAGACCUUUGGGCCUUAAUGAGUAGCUCGACCUAUGAUCAAGUCUAGUUUUAAACCAUACAUUUCAUUAUUUAUUAUAUGUUAUUUUUAAAUCAACAUCUAUGUUUUAAAUACAUAGUUUCCACAUACAUACACUUGUGAUAGAAUUUCUAGUUAUUAUUUAAGUCCCUGACUGAAUUGGUGUCACAAGUCAACUAGGCACCAAUACGUUAAGAAAAUUACGAAAAUGUCAUUCUGUAAUUACAAUAAGUUAUAUUAUUUGAGGGUAUCUUAAUCUUUUACUUUUAAAAAAAAGAAAACCUAAUAAAAGAGUUACAUGUUGUGGGAUUUAAACUAGAGGUGAGUAAAACUUGAUUCGAUUUGAAAAAAUAAAAAUAAAAUCAAAUUUCGAGUUAAUAAAAUUGAGUUAUUUACUCUUGGAAUAAGCAAUUCGAGUUUUGAGUUCAAGUUGAGUUGAAUUUUACAAUUCGAGUCACUCGAAUAAUUCGAAUAAUAGAUGUGUAAAUACCCUUUUGGUUCCUAACAAUUUUGAAAAUGAGCAAAUUGAUCACUCUCUCAACAAAAAUUACAAAAAAAAAUUCAAAAUAUUUAUAAAAAUUCUUAUAUAUUUUUAAAAAAUAUAUAAUUUUUUAAAAAGAUUCUAAAAAAAAUAUAAAGAAAGUUAAAAAAUUAAAAAUAUUCUAAAAUAAUAACUUUGGGAACUCAAUAAAUAAAUAAAUUAUUAAAUUUUAUCGUACUAAAGUAUCUUAUUAUUAUUAUUAUUAUUAUUUUGCUUUGAAUUUUUUUCAAAUAUAUAUGGUUUCAAAUUUAUGUGCUCUAACAUGGAAUUAGUUUUGCUGUAACAAAACUUUAAUUUGAUAUGUUUAAUUUUUUAAUUAACUUGAUCAAUUUCACUCAAUUUGUCUUGACUUGAAUUUCAUUUCACUCGACUCGAUUCGAAAAAAUUUCAAAUCGAGUUAGAUGAUAAAAUAGGACUUGUAAACUCAAUUAACUCAAAAAAUUUUCACUUGAUUUGAUCAAACACUCACCCUUAAUUUAAACCUAUGGUAUAUACAUUAAUAAAAUUUUAAUUUCACCAUUAAACCAAAACUUUAUUUUAAUGUAAUAUUUAAAUUUUAAUUGUAUUAUGCAUAUUUUAUUAUCCCAUUAAUUUUAUAUCUAUACUCCUAUACUAUUUAUUAAGUUUUUUAUUAUGGAAAUAUAAUUCUGUAAUUAAAGUAAGUUAUAUUAUUUGAGGGUAAUUUAGUCUUUUUAUUUAAAAAUCAAUAAAAAUAUAUAUAUAUGGUGGGAUUUAAACUCGAACCAAUUAUAGUAGUAAAACCUUUUAAUUUACCACUCAGUUGAAGCUUUAUUUUGAUACUUUUGCACAUUGCAAAAAUUUUAUUAUUCACAUUUUAUUAUCUCAAUCAAUUGUAUAUAUAUAUAUCUAAGUGUUUUACUAAGUUGGUGUCACCCUCAACUGGAUCACCAACUCAAUUAAGAAAUAUGCAUAAGUUGAGAUAUGAACACAAAUCAAUUACAUUAGUAAAACCUUAAUUUACCACUCAGCUAAAGUCUUGUUUUAAUAUUUUUUAUAAAUUUCAUUUUAUUAUUAUUAUGCACUAAUGUAUUUAAUUGAGUUGAUAGCACAAAUUAACUCGAUAACAACUUAAGAUCGAUGGCAACACCAUGAUAAACAAUUUUAAUCUUAUUUUGUUUAACAUCGUAUAUAUUUCACGUGUUAUUAUUAACUAGUUUCAAAUCAUACGUUUUAUUUUCUAUUGCAUGUUAUUUUUUAAAUACACUAUUCUAAAUUUAUGAUUUCCAUAUGCAUACGCGUAUGACAAGAUUUUUAGACUAUACUAUUUAUUAAGCUUUUUUAUUGAGUUGGUGUUACCCAUCAACCGAGUCCCAACUUUAGGAAUUACCCUAAAUCAAAAAAACUAUUUUAUUUGCUAAGUUAUAUGAUUUUGUGGAUGUUUCUAUUUUUUUUAUAGUUUUAUAAAUCAAUAAAAAUUUAUCCAUAAUAAGAUUUGAACCAAGGACAUUAGGUAUUUAUAACUUUUUCAUUUACCAUUUGAACUAAAACAUUUUUUUUUUAUAUAUGAAACUAUAACAAAUAUAUUUGUUAUAUACAUUUUUAUAUAUUUGUGUAUCUAACUAAACUAUUUCUAUAGCCAUUUACUGAGUUUGUAUCACCUGUCCUAACUAAGUUAGCAAAUUACCAAAAAAUCCUUUUAUUUGAAAAGUAAGUUAUAUGAUUUUGUAGGUGUUUUUUUUUUACUUUUCAUAUUUUUAUAAAUAAAAAUAAAAAAUUGUCUAUAAUAAGAUUUGAAUCAAUGGCAUUAUGCAUAUAAAACUUAUUUUUUACCAUUUCUAAACUAAUUUUUAAUUUUUUUAAUUUGAUGCGUUUUUGUAUUUAAAUUUCGUUUUACUCACAAUUUAUUUUUUUCAUUUAAAUAUCAUACAUAUUUCAUGUGUUAUUAUUAAUUAGUUCCAAAUCAUAUGUUUCAUUAUUUAUUAUAUAUUAUUUUUAAACACAUAUAAGUGUUCUAAAUUCGUGGUUUCCACAUACAUACGCGUGUGAUAAGAUUUCUAAUAUUGAUAAUAUUGUUAAUUGAAUUGGUGUCACAAGUCAACUCAACACUAACUCGAAAUUGAUGACAACACCAUGAUAAACAAUUAUAGUGCAUGUAUUGUUCUUAAUAUGAUGUAUUUCCGUAUUUAAAUUUCAUUUUACAUGCAAUUUAGUCUAUUUUUUUAUUUGAAUGUUGUACGUAUUUCAUGUGUUAUAAUGAAUUAAUUUUAAACCAUACGUUUUAAUAAGGUCCCAACUUAGUUGAGAUUACCAGAAACCCAUUUUUGACAAAUAAGUUAUACUAUUAUGAGUGUGUUUUUGUCUUUUUAUAUUUCUAUUGAUGAAUAAAAUUUUACACAUAAUAAGACUUGAACUAAUGAUACUAUAAUAUCAAACCUUCGACUUUACCAUUUUAACUAAAAUAUCCAUUGAUUUUUACAUAAACUUUUAGUAAGUAUAUUUGUUGCAUAAAAAUUUUCAUCAAUAGUUAUUUGUAAUGGUAGUUGUUUUUUUAAUAGUCUUAAAUACUCAUUUUUAUUAUUCUAUUUUAAUUUAAUAGAUAUAGAUAUAUGUUUUCUUUUUUUUAUACAUAAUUAUGAAUAAUAUCUUUUCCUCAGCUAAGUUUGAGUUCAAUUCAUAUUGCUAUACUAUUGUAAUAACCAGAAAGAUAUGAAUUUAAGCGUGUUUAAACAAUUUCUUUUUUCAAUUUAAAUUCAUCAAUCUUCACCCAUAAUAAAUAGAUAUAUUAAGAUAAGCCACAUAUGAAUUCAAACCACUUAAAUAGUUUUAGUUUUUUUUUAAUAUAUAAGGUUGGUUUAUAUAUAGGAAAAAUAUUUCCUAAUAAUUUAAUCAUCAAGUGUAUUUGAAAUGUUAUACUUAAAAUAUCUAUUUUAAAAAAAUGAUUGUUAUUAUAAUAGAAAUAUGAUAAUAACAAAAUUUAGAAAAAAAAAAGUAAUAUCUAUAUUUGGUCACCUAUAAAAUAAAAAGUAAAUAUUUUUACAUUUAGUUUAUAUGACUGAGUCAUUAAUCGAGUUGGGAUUAAUUUAAAUUUUAAUAUUUAUAUUAUUAAAACUAAAAAUUUGUCUGACUAUAUUAUCGAAAGAGUUUGGCACAACAAAAGAUACAAUUAUAAAAAAAAUUACACAAAAAAAAAUAUUUACGUAAUUCACAAUUAAUCUAUGUUUGCAUAGUCUUGCUUAAAGAAUCAAUCCACUAAAAUUUUCUAAGUACAAAGAACAAUGAUUUAACCUAAACUUAUUCGCAAUAGAAUUGAGCAUCCCUUGCAUCGCUUCUACUCUAGAAUCUAAAGACUUUAACAAAAAUUCCAUGAGUUGAUCUUCCAUCAAGUCCAACCUUGUAGUGCGUCCGUCGACUACCUUGAAUGUCUUCCUCAUAUCCCCCAUGGACUCAUUGAGAUUAACCACUCGAUUUUCUAAAGCCAACGGCAAGCUUUUCUGGCCCUCCCACGAGUCUCCGUUGGCUCAAUCUGAUCUUCUACUCCUUUCGUCAUCUCGAACGACACCUUUGAAACAUUAGCUCAAAUACCAGUUGCCAAGGGGGCUAAAACUUUAUUCUCUCAAUCCGUGCGACCUUAGGCAAUUUAUUGGGUUCAAAUCCACCUAAGUCAACCUAACUCUCACAAAGUGAGAAUUCUCGAUAGAAAUUCUUAAGGCACCGAAAAUAAAGCGGAAGCAACUCAGAGCGAAAGAGUAACAAAAUAACAGAAAAUGCCACAAGAAAGCAAAAGCACGCCAAGUGUUUGAGUAAAUGCUCUCCAUAGUAUUCAAUUACUAUGAAGGAUUACAAAUAAGGGGGAAGACUUUUAUUUAUAGUUAAGCUCCCCAAAUUCAACAGUGCAGAUUGAGUUACACCGACAGUCAAGACUAGAGCCUAUUUACAAGAUGAUAGUCCUUAUGGAUUUAAACUCUAUACAUCUUUAUCACUUAGGAUUUACAAUAUUUACCCUAAUAACUCUAGCUUCACCGGAGUGUUUCACUAGGCCACCAAGGCUUCAAGUAGAUGGGCUUCUCUAUAUGUUCCACGAGUUGGGUCAGUUCAAGCGGGUCAAAUGAGCCUUAUUUAAUCAGUUGACCUCCAUGGGACGCUCUUUGCGCAUUCGUCAUGAGUUUUGAUUUACGGCCCAUGACACUAGGUUCAAAGCCCGUGACCAUCGCACCAAAUGCAUCCAAUGGAGGUUUAUUGCUUAGAUAGGGAUCAUUUGGCCUACAAGAACUGGCCCAAUUCAAAGAGCUAUUGGACAAGCCUGUCAUAUUGAAGCCUAGUUGGCCCGAUAAUGAAGAGAUGUCAACUUAGGCUAAUAUGGUAACUAAUCUUAGAAGAUAGAGGGAAUCAUAUCUUGUAAAGAUUAGAUUAGAUUUGAUAAGGCUUAUCUUGUAAAUCCCUAAAAUUAAGGGAUAUGGUUAAAUCUCAUCCGUCGAUGUAAAUGUAUCUUGACCGUCGGUUUUGGGGGAGCUCAACUAUAAAUAGAGAGCCUCCCCCUCAGUUGUACUCACUCCAUUCAUUGUUUCAUUAUUUUUUGUGAAUAAGAGAAAUAGAGAGCAUUUACUCAAACACUUUGCGAGCGUUCUUUCUGUUGUUCUCUGUUGUUCUUCUUUUGGCAUAAAUCGCUUCCGCUCUUCAAUUUGGUGCCUUGGAGGAGUUCUAAAAGAAUCCUCACUUGAGUUAAGGCUGACUUGGGCGAGUUUGGACGAACGGAUCGCCUAAGGCCGCACGAAUUGCGAAACGAAAGGUCUAGCCCCGUGACACUAGUACGUGGUGCAAAAAAAAAACAAUCUAAAUAAAAAAAUUGAAGUGAAUCGAAUUGAAAAAAAAUUGAAUUUUUUUUGUUUAUUCAGUUUUCAAUUUCUGUUUAAUUGGUUUAUUUGAUCGAUUUUCGAUUUUGACAUUUUAAAUUGAAUAAACCAUUUAAGGUCAUAAGCCCAUAACACAUUUACAUAACCAAACCCUAAUUUAAACUAUAAACCCAAAUAUCCAUUAAAACUUAGUAUUCUUAAAAGCUCGAACCCAUUAAAGUUUAAAAUCCAAUACUCAUUAAUAUUUUAUACCCAAAAUGAUAAUUUAAUUUUUCUUUGAUAUUCAUUUUAUUUUUUUAUCAUUUAAUAUAUUAAAAAAAUCCAAAUUGAUAUAUACCUUUAAGAAUAGUAGAAGACAUGGAAAUUGUAUGUUGACCAUGUAAAAAUAAAUAAAUAGUUUUUGAGUUCUUAAAACUUUUUUGAUUUAAUUUUUAAUAUUUUUAUAAUAAUAUUUGAAAUAAAAUUAAAAUUAAAAUUAAAAGUAACGAUCUAUACUAAAUUGAAGAAAAAAAAAGACAAUUAUGUGAAAAAGGAAAUAGAAUUAUAAGUACCUCAACAAGAAUUUUUUUCAACUAAAAACAAUUAUUUAUUCUUUAUUGCAUGAAUAAUUUAAUUUAUUCAAUUUUUUGUAUAAAAAAAACCGAACCGACCAAAUACAAUUGGAUGGGAAAAAAGCUUUCUCUCUAAAAUUUACUAUUGCCCUUGCAAAAUCUUACGGCUAAACAAGAUGAACAGAACAUAAAUUUACAAGAAUAUUGAACGGAAAAUUCUAUUCCAAAAAUGCUGUUGGUCAUAGAUCAUAAAAUAAUAUUUUUAAAAUUUUCUGCUGACGAAAGAAAAUAAUUUCCAGCUUUCACCAAAUCUUAUGCUGUGGAGAAUACUAUCAUUAUUAUCAGUUUGAAAUGUUUACUUCUGUAGGAUUAAGACAAUUUUCAACCACAUUCAAAUAUGAAUCUAAAAAGUGGGAUAACCCUCCCAAAUUCUAAUUCCUUCCUAAUCAAAGAAAUAUGUAUCAUUUUAACAAAAAAACACUGAAUAUUAUUUGCCCGACUAUGGGAAGAUGUUACGCAUCCUGUUAACUCAGUUACUACUAGCCAACUGGGUCCGGAUGAGCUUGGCAGCAGCUACCAUGUUGCGAAGAGCAGGCUCAACUUCAGAGUAUUUGCGUGUCUUGAGACCGCAAUCGGGAUUGAUCCACAGAACCCUGUUAUCUAGGACUGCAAGCAUCUUGUUGAUGCGAUCGGCAAGUUCUUCUGUAGAUGGGAUCCUAGGAGAAUGAAUGUCAUACACACCAGGACCGAUACCGGCUUCAUAUUUGACUCCCUCAUGAAAGACAGAUAGAAGCUUUUCAUCUGAUCUUGAAUUCUCGAUAGUGAUCACAUCAGCAUCCAUAUUUAUAAUCGCGUUAAUGAUGUCGUUGAAGUUUGAGUAGCACAUGUGGGUGUGAAUCUAUCCAAAUAUGUUUGCAGUAUCAUGUUCAGUAAACAAAUCCAAGCAUUUUAUCUCAUGCACAUUAAAUUUUAUGCAGCAAAAUUCCAUAUUCAAUCCUAUUAACAAAUGCCACUACGGUUCUACAAAGGAAAGUCAAAUACCAAUUCAGUUCUUUCAUUCCAAAGCUUUUUCGCUUUCAGGGAAGAAAAAAAGGAGAAAGAAAGAAAUCGUUGGUUUCUCUGAAGAAUUUCAGUGUUCUAGAAGCUUUGACAAUUAACAAAAUUUUCGUGUUACUUCCAGGGAUUAGAAAUGUUUAAAAUACCAAUGACAUAAAAUGGAUAAGGUUUAAGAAACUAGUUCACUAAAGGCUCAGUACUAAAGAAAAGGUCAGGGAUAAAGAAACCUGAGUAGUGUUUUUGACGCCACAGUUAGUAAUCCGGAAGGAUUGAACGGCCCAUUCCAGAUAGAAAGGCUGCUCAGAUUUCCUAAGAGGUAAACCUUCUCUUAAUGCAGCUUCAUCAAUCUGGAUAAUAUUAAUGCCAGCUCUCUCAAGAUCCUCGACCUCAUCCCUAAUGGCUAAGGCAAUCUGGUAGCAUGUUUCAUGCCUAAAAACAGGCAACAAUUCUGAAUUAAAGGAAAUAAAAUUUCACAUUAUCAACAAUGUUGGAUUUACUGACCUAUUCUGGUCGUUUCUCACAAAGGACCAGUUCAGAAUCGUAACUGGGCCAGUAAGCAUUCCCUUCAUAGGUCGUCUAGUCAUACUCUGGGCUGUUGAAGACCAAAAGACAGUCAUGGCUCUGGGGCGGCUCACAUCACCAUAAAUAAUAGGAGGCUUGACACAACGGGAUCCAUAUGACUGAACCCACCCAUUCACAGUAAAGGCAAAACCGGAUAAUUGCUCACCAAAGUACUCGACCAUGUCAUUUCUCUGCAUUGAUAAAGUAGAUUUGCAAAUCAAAAUGACAAGUUUGGACUUGAUUCCCAUGAGAAGGUUAAAGCCUAGGCAUACCUUACCCUCAUAAUCAUGAUAAAAACUCACCUCUGGCUCACCAUGCACCAAAACAUCAAAGCCAAGCUCUUCCUGGAGCUUGACAACUUUGCUAAUUUCCUCCUUCAUGGCAUUGACAUAAUCAUAUUCAGUGAUCCUACAAGUACAUGGCAAAACAAGCAGGCUAAAUAUGCAACAAAAACAAAGACUUGAAAAGCAACAUAGACUAAGAGCAAAUAAUCUCACUUUUUAGCCUUGUACUCACGACGCACUUUUCUAAGUCCUAUGGUUUGGGGGAAAGAUCCAAUAGUGGUGGUAGGAAGAAUUGGUAAAUUCAACUUCUUCUGCUGAGCAGCCAGUCUAGCACUUACACUUGUGGCACGACGAUGAUCAGAGUCCUUCAAGGCAACAACCUAUUAAGAAAGGAGUGAUAUGUAAGUGACGGAAGGUCGAUUAGAUCAUUGCAGAAAUGAAUGACAAUGACUUUCUGUGGAAACAACAUACAGCCCUCUGCACAUUCUCAUUUCUCACUCUAGGAGAGGAUCUUCUUGAAGCAUGAGAUGUAGCAUUGGAAGCAAAAAAUGCCUGCAAAAAUGAUAACCAAAAAAUAUGAUGCUAGAGCAUAUCACCAGAAAUAUUUAUAGAUCAUAGACAACAUAUUUCAAAGUUAUAGGCAGUGUCAUCUGUCUGCCUUGCCAAUUGACCAUCAAGAGAAGAAAAAAAAGAGGUAGAGAAAGGUGCAAGCCUGUGGGUUGAAAGUCAUCAAUGGCUAAAUCAUAUGUUUUCCAUAUCAAUAAUUGUUGAUCAACAACACUUGCAAAAGUUAGCAUUUACCCACCAAAACAAGAAAGAAAUACCUGAUCCUUCUGCCCAACCAAUGCCCUGGCCAAGGCAUUUACUUCAACUACUUUUUGUGCAGCAAAUGCAAGCCAGGACUUGAUUUCUUUGUCCAACUUUGUUUCAUUCACAAGGUCCACCGCAGUGUGGAGAAGAGAGCAUGAUGUAGACACCACAACUUUAUCUGUUGGAGAACAAAACAAAAAUUGUUCUUAACUUUCAGUAAUUUGCAUACUAAAAUUCCAGGUAGAAAGAACGUAGGAAUUCCUAAAUACCUUUUCCAACAAUACCCUCAAGAACCUGCAGUAUACAAAGUGAAGCAGCAAGAUCAUUAGCCCAAAUGUUUCUUCCGUCAACCACUCCAGCAAACAAGUAUUUAUCAGAAGGAAAUCCACUCUUUAAAAAGUUAAGUGUUCUUGUUCCACGAACUAAAUCAAAUCCAAAGCCAGCUACAUUCUUUAGUGAAGUAAGUGCUUUGUAUGUCUGGAUGGGGACAUCGGCAAAGUAAGUUUCAAUGAGAAUAUUCACACCAGAAAACGAUGAUUCUAGCUCAGAGUAAGCAUUUGUAAAAGUUUGCAGUUGAAGCGCCUCGAGAUCCAACACAAGGGAGGGUUCAUCAAACUGAAUCCAUGUUGCACCAGCUGCCUUUAAUUCAGCAACAACUUCCCUGUCAGGUAACAUUUGUUAGAAAGCUCUUAAGACAAUAUGCCAGCAAUCAGUAAAGCUUAGCCCAAAAAUUUGCAGAUUAACCAAGGGCAAGCAAACAUAUUUGUGCCUUACUUGUAAAUAGGAACGAUCUUCUCAACUAAAGAAAGAAGAGAGAAGGAUUUAUCCACGCCCUUUGCUGGUUUUGAUAACAAUAAGUAAGAUAAAGGGCCUAUAAGGACAGGGACAGUGUCAAGUCCAAGCUGCACGUCAAAAAUGAAAGAAAAGUUAGCAAUUCAACAUGCAUAAUUAGGUAGGGAAUUUAAAUUUUCCAACACCAUCAGUUAAGUGAAAAAGAAACCCUAAAAGCAUCUUGUCGAAAUGAAUUUACAAUUUCCCCAACUAAAACACUUCAGUCCUAAGAGGACAUUAUCAUUUGUAGAUAUGGAUGCUAUGACGGGGCUAAAAUAAUAAUCCUCUUAGAACACAAUUCUCAUCUGCACAGCUGACACCAUAAUAGUAAAGCCAUGAGGCCGGGAUCAAUAGGUAUCAAUUUCAUUCUGACAUAUGGAAUCCAUUAAAAACUUAGGCUUCAAGCAUGUAAAAGAUGCAUAUGAACAAAUGGAUUUAUGCAAAGUAUGUUUUAGCUACUUCUUCAUCUUCUUGUCUUGAUGGGACUUGUUCAUUUACUCUUAAUUUCUUAUACCGUAGAGCCUCCACGCUACAAAAGUCUAGAGGGUUAAAAAACAAAAUUGACUCACAGAUAUAGGAUGUCCCUGGUGCACUCUUUUUUAUAAUAAAUCGACUCUCAAAAAAUUUAUACAUGCCUUAGCAUUUUUUAGAAAGAAAAUAAUGUAGCAUUCCUUCAAUAGUUAGUGGUGGUGUUACUAUGAUGCGAGCAAAAAAAGAUGCAAAUUUGACAGCUUAGGGAUAAUGAACUGAAACAAAAAAAAAAUUGAAUAUCAGAAAUUCCCUCGUAACUAAACAAAUACUGCUAAAGAAAAAGCUAAAGAGCGAAAAAGUAGCAAACUCACAGCUUUGGCCUCCUUGUAUUCCUCAACAGCCUUAUGAGAUGCAUAGGAGAACUUGACAUCGGGCCCCAAUUCCGGGACAAUAUAGUGACUUCAAAAAUGAAAAGUACCAUUAAUAUCAAGUAAAAUGAGAUUAUUUUUCGAAAAUUACUAGCUAUAAAGUAUUCUCACUUACUAAUUGGUAUCGAACCACUUAGUCAUUUCCAUAGCAGGCACAGAGGCAUUACCCCUAGCCAUUGAGAAAUAAACAUCAAAACCAAUCUCACCACCAUUCCAACCAUAUCUAGGAGGGACUGCACCUAGCAUUGCUGUGGUGUCCAAAACGUGAUCAUAGUAUGAAAAUGUGUUGCUAGGAAUAUACUUGAUUCCAACCUCAGCCAUUUGCUUCCAGAUGGAGAACCUGAGAUCGGCUGCCACCUGCUUCAAUUCCUCGGCACUGCUUUUACCUUCCCAGAAAGAUUCCAAUGCAAACUUUAACUCCCUCUUGGGUCCAAUUCGAGGGUAACCGACAAUGUGGGAUGUCAUUGCUCUGUUUCAGUAAAACAGAGUUACCACAUAUCGUUAUGAUUUCAAUUAAACCAAAAGAAAAGAUCUUCACAAGUAAAACUACAUUUAAAUUUUUAUUGAAACAAACAAAUCCAGUCGAAAUUAAGAUUCUUUUCUUUAAUCAAUGGUACAAUUGUGGGAUAGAUAUUAAAAUUCAACUAUUUCACUUGGGAGAUACCAACAUCUAUUAUUACCCCAAAUACUCAGGUGCUGGUUAUAGUUGAGUUUUAUUGGUCAAGAGCAAUGAUUGGAAGUAGCAGACAUUAACAUUGAAAUUCAAAUGCAAAAUAAAAUAAAAAUAAUGUAUGACAAAAAAAAAAGAAAAAAAAUAAACAGAAACGAAUUAGGGAAAAAAAAAACUCACUUGCUUAUCUGUUUGGUUACUAAGAAAUAGCAUGAAUGGAAAUGAAAUGAAAAGAGAAUCAGCACUGAUUGUGUCAAAUUAUAAACAUUGUUUGAGAUCCUAAAAACAAGGAAUUUCUAAACGGUUUGUUAACUUUUCCUUUUUCAAAUUCCGCUAGACCGAACCACAAAAACCUCAAAAAUUUACAUUUUUUUUGGCUCUUAUUAUUUUUGCUUCUAAACACAAAAAAAGAAAAGAGAAAAGAGGAAAGGAAGUUACCUAAUAGAGAAAGAAGGGAGGGAGAAGCGUGGCGGAGGGGUAAUGGAGAAACGAGACAGAGAAGAGAAGGGAGAGAGAGAGUGAAGCAGAGAGAGUUGGGUCAUUUAUACUUUCUUCCUUUGCCUUGCUACUCUAUUCUCCCUCCGCUUCUUUUGUACUCCCCCACCCCCCUCCGUUAGGCACGGUGACUAAUAUUAACUUUAUUAAUUGGAUAGUAUAAUAUUCCCUCAUAUUUUUACAAAUAAAUAAAUAAAUUCAGGCUUUUGUAUUUACUAAUAGAUAAAUUGUAUUUUAUCUUUACAAAUAAAUAAAUAAAUUAGUCCUAUAAGUUAGAUCGAAAAGUAAAUUAGUUCUUUCAUUAAAAAUUUCUUUCAUUUUUACUGUAAAUUGCUGACAUGGACGAUGAAAUAAUCAGAUAAUAACUCAUUAUAAUGUGACAAUAUUUAAAAAAAUCUUUAAAUAAAUAUUUUUUUUAUAAUCAUUUAAAAACUUACCUUUAGGAUAAACUUGGAUAAAUGAUUGUUCAAGAUAACCAUUUGUCUAGAUUCAUCAUGAAUAUAAAAUUUUAAAUUAUUAUAAAAAUAAUCAUUUGUUCAACUCGUCAUGGACAUGAAUUUUCAAAUAAUUAUAAAAAUAUAUAUUUAAAAAUAAUUAAUAAUUAUAAUAAAUUUUAAAAAUAAUUAAAAACAACUUCUAGAAUGAAUUUAAAAAUUAAUGUUUAAAUAAUUAUAAAUAUAAUAAUAAAAUUUUUAAAAAUAUUAAUAAUUAUAUUUUUUUAAUUUUAAAAUUUAUAAAAAAUAUAUAUAAGGACAUAUAUUAUGUUUAAAGAAUUCAAAUAUAUAUAUACAUAUAUUCUUUUAAUCGAAUUAAUAUUUUUAGUUAAUUAAAUUGAUGUUCUUAUUUUAUUAAUUUAUUAUAAUUUAAAUAUAUAUACGCAAAUAUAUACAAUAGUAACAUUUCAUAUUAAUUUUUUAUUAUUAAUUUUUAAUUUUUUUAAAAAUUAUAAUUUUUAAAUAAUUUUUAUAUAUUAUUAUAAUUAUUUAAGAAAUCACUCAAUAACGAACCUAGACAAAUGAUUGUCAAGUAUUAUUUGAACUUGGACAACAGUUUGUCCAAGUUCAUUCUAGACAUUGCUUUUAAUAAUUUUAAUAUAUUUAUAAUUUUAAAUGUUUUUUUCAUAUUCUUUAUAAUUAUUUAAAAAAACCAUGUCUAGAAUGAAAUCGGACAAAUUUUAUUUAUUUUUAAUAUUUUUCUAUUUUUUAAAUAUUUGAUGAUGUGGCAAAAUGCCACAUUAACCUAAGGUGUAUAUGGCAAGUCAUGUGUCACUAUUUGGUUGGUCCAUCAACCAUGUCAGCAAUUAAUAGUAGAAGUGGAUGGAACUUUUAAUAAAAUGACUGGUUUAAUAUUUGAUCUAAUAUUCAAUGACUAAUUUGUCCAUUUUUUUAAUAGAGAAGACAAAAUGCAAUCUAACUCCUAAUACAAUGUCCUCCAUGGUACUUUCACCUAUUAACUUCAUAUAUGCAAGAUUACGGCACACCUACAAUGUGGGUAAAAAGUUUGUAACAAUUUUUUUAAAAAAUGAUGAUAUAAUAACUAAAUAUGACUUUAGUUAAAAUGGUAAUGUGGAAAUGAUAAAAAUCAUAAUAUAUUGGGUUUGAAUUUUAUCAUGCACAAGUAUUUAUUUUUAGAUUUUGCAUGAAAUGACAAAACUACUCUCAAAAUAAUAUUUAUUAUUUUGUAAAAAUAAUAUAUUUUUGAUAAUUUUAAAAUUGAAUUAAAACUCGAUUAAUAAAUUACAACAAAUCAAUCAAAAUUAAUUUUUCACAACCAUCAAAUUUCUCUUCAUUAAAUUUUCAAUUGAAGAUGGUGUUGUAUUGAGGAUUAAAACCCUUGACUGCAUUAGCAAAUUGAACUUCAACUUGAACUUACACAAGUUAUUUUUCAUUGGAUUAGUGUUACGGGGUUAGAACUUUAGUCUCGCAAAUCGCACGGUUUUAGGUUAUUCUUUAGCUUCAAAUAUGCCUAAGUCAGUUUUACUCUCGAAAGUGAGAAUUCGCAAAGAAAAUUUUCUAAGGCAUCGAAAUAAAGCGGAAGUAAACUCAAAAAUAAGAAGCAACGAAAGAACUAAAAAACAUAUAAGAAAGCAAUGCACACAAGGUGUUUAAAUAAGUGCUCUCAAAUAUAUUCAAUAACUAUUAAUGAAAUGAUUACAAAUGAGUGGAAGGCCUCUAUUUAUGGUUGAGCUCCUCCAAAUCUAACUGUACAGUUUAAAUAUAUUUGCAAGAAGAGAGUCUUAAGAUAUUUAAACUCUAUAUAAUUUUUCAAUAUAUUUUUUUGUCAAUUUGGCCUUUAUUCAUUUAAAUUUGACCACUAACCUUUUAAAAAGAGUCGAAUUGUUAUUUUUUUUAACAAAGAUACUUAUCAAAAGGUUCAAAUUUUAAACAUGGCAAUCUACGUGUAAUUCAAAGUUUUUAGAACUAGACCAGUAGUCGAAUCGAUCAGGCCAACGGUAAAAUCGAUUCAUACGGUUUGAUUAAAAAAUCAAUAAAAAUUCAUUAAAAAAACACGGUUCAACUAGUUCAACCUAUUUUUUAGCUUGGUUCAAUCGGUUUGUAUCAGUUCACAGGUCAACCUCCCUAAUGCCUCUCUAUGGACUGGUACCUUAGCCAGUUCUUGUUCCAACCAAUUCAACCAAUUGGUCUAAUCCAAUUCAAACAACCAUAGUGCAAUUCAUGCUAUUUGUUGAAUUUUAUGAAUUUUAUUAUAAUUUCUUUUUGAAUUUUUUAUACUUUUAAAUAUUUUAUAAUUUUUAAAUUAUUUGUUGACGUAACAUAUAAGACAAAUAAUGUCAAGUCAAUAUGAAGUACAUGUAGAUUGCCACAGGUUGCCAUGCCAACAUUAUUAAAAAAAUGUUUUAGUUAGCAUUACCGAUAAAAAAAAGUGUAACACCCUACACCUGACUCGAUCAUCGAGUCCGAGCUACACUAUGCCACAUUUGUUGUCGGAGCAACUAUGAUCAAAAUAAACACAAUUUAAGCCUUUUAGCAUUCAAAUAAAAGCAUUAUAAACAAAAAAAAAUAUGAUAAAUAAAUAUUAUCUAGUUUUGUAUAAGCUUACAAAAGCUUUAAUGUUAUCUUGUAAUCGAAUCAAGACUAAAUUGUGAAAAUUUUAAAUUACAAGGUAGACAUCGCGAUGUAAAAGAGUUCCUCCCUGCGACGUGACAUACUGACUUAGUUUGGUCAUGACGACGGGGUUCCUUGUUGUGCCAUGGCCUGGACUUCAACCCUCAUCGUGACAACAUGCGUUUUACGUUGCGACGUCACAUAUUGUUUCUGCAAUUUCUAAGUGUACAAACCUGUAAUUUUAAACCCAUCAAUGCAUAAUCAAACUUUUACCUUAUUUUGACCAAAUAUACAGUACCUAUAAGUUCCAUAAUAAGUCAUAACACUUUCUAUUCACAGAAAUAUCACUUUUUAACCAUCAAAUAAUUCCAAUCAUCCAAUCAUUCUUAUCAACUUACCUAAUUUCAUGACAUAUUAGAUGGAAACAUAUACACAUUCAUCACAUUAUAAUCAUAUUACCAUUUCAUGUAUCAUACCCUAAUCAAACUGGCAAAUCUAAGUUGCACAUAUAUAUAAAUAACAAACAUAUAACGCUUUUAAAACACUUAAUUCAAUAAGAUUCAGCCUAUUAGGUACAUGCCAGCUAACAACAAAAACAGAAAGCGAACAAACAUUUUUGAGUCUGGGAUCAAAUAUUGGAUGCUGAAAUUGAUACUCGGGAAUUUUGAAUUGAACCUAACCAGCUAUAACACCCCGAAUUCUAGGCUAGAGGUUCUAAGGUUUGUGGUUAGGGUCAGUGAGUAAGUUGUGCUAUUGUGUUUAGUUGCGCGUUUAAGUGAUAGAACAAGCCUGCUGGUCUGGUGGUUGGUAGUGUGUUAGUGUUCCUUUGGGUCCCGGGUUUAAGUCUUUACGAGUGUUUUGAGAGACCAUUUUUAUUUUGUUUUAAAGGUUUAGGUAAUUAUAUUCUUUACUGAGUGUUUAUUAUUAUGAUUAUUUUUAUUUUUAUUUUCUUUUGGACGUUCUCCUCUUGCUUUUUCUUUUGUUUUCUUUUUAUUUAUUCUUCUUUUCUUUUUUGAAAAGGGUGGUGUUGUGGUUUUCGAAGAGCUUCGCUUUCUUGGUCAUCGAGUUGGGAUUUGGACGUCUCUGGUUACAAAUUAGGUAUGGGUUUCAAAACUUUUUAAUUUUACUUGUGAAUUGUAAGUUUGACUUUGGUGGAAUGCGGCAAUCUAUGUGCCUUUUGGAAAUUGGUUAUCGAUGUUCGGUCAUAUCGAUUGAGGGUCGAUUUAGUGACUGAAAAACUCAAUUUUCAAACUAUUUGAGGGUGGUUUCGUGACCACACAAGUGGCCACACGGGCAUGUGCCCCCACACAGGCGGUUCAUACGGCCGUGUACAGUUAGGAAUUAGGGUUUUCGAUAAAAUUUGGUGCCACACGGCCCGGCCACACGGUCGGGUGGUUGAUUUAGGGAUUUUUAUCGAUUUUUGCACGGUCGUGUCCCCUGGGCACACGGGCGUGUGUGUUUGGGAAUCAGGGAUUUAGUGAUUUGGUGCCACACGGUCGUAUGGCUAAUUUGGGGAUUUAGGGAUCCCACAUGGGCGUGUGAGACCCUCACACGGCAGUGUCUGCCCUGUACUCUAUUUUAGCACAAAUGGAUAGAGAGUUACAUGGCCUGUUCACAUAGCCAUGUCCCUGGCCCACACGGGCAUGUGCCUCCUCCUAUACGGGCGUGUUGAUCCCCCACACGGGCGUGUUGACCUCUACUUGGUUUAGGCAUUUCCACACGGCCAGAGCACACGACCGUGUGGUCCUAAGUCAUCAACUUUAGUUCUGUGUAUGCUUUUUAUCUGAAAAUGUGUUUGAGUGUUCCGGCCCUUAGCUAGGAUUUAGUGAGGGUAGUUAAGACUCUGAUCUGGGCUUCAGCUUAUGUGUUAUUUGUGACUGUUAUGUGAGAUGUCUGAUCCUGAACCCGGUUAGCUGGAUGUGUGUGCAUAUCUGUUUCUGUCUGACUGUCUGUCGAUGUGUUCAUUGUUUCUGUGAGGGUGUAAGCAUACAUGCACUUGCAUAAAGAAAUUUUUGGGUUGGUUGCGAAGAGAAGGAAGAAUGAUUCUGAUAUGAUCUGGCAGUUUUUUUGCAACUUAUUCGUACAAUGAUUUGCCGCAUUGUACCGCACGUAUGUCAGCUUUGCUACGUACCAUUAUUUGAUAUGGUAGUUUUAACUACAACAUGUCUAUAUAGCGGAUUAUCGCAUUGCACUGUACUACAUAUACGCCAGCCCUGCUACGUGUUAAUAUCUGAGUGGCUUAGUCCGCAUAUAUGGUGUGUAGGGUUGGAUGGGCUUUUCGAGGUCCUAUGUGGUGUGUUUGGUUGGAUGAGCUUAAACAACUCUUUUAGGGUGUGAUUGGGGGAUGGAGAGGUGUUUUGGCUGGAUGGGUGGGUUUUUAUUACCUGACUGCAUUCAUACGCAUCUGUUUGAAUGUUCUGGGUGUAAGAUUAUCUGACUAUUUUCUGUCUGAUUGAAUAACACUUGUGACUGAGUGUUUGUGUCUUGGUGUGCUUGAGUUGUUUCGUUUUGUUGGGACGUUGGUUCCAAGUUUACUUUCUGACUCUGUGUAUAUCUCUAAGUCUGUUUCACUAUUGAAUUGAGUUCCGUAAAUCUGUUAUUAGUCUCGUAUCGAACUCACACUGAGCUCGUGUAGCUUACCCCUCCUUAGCGUUUCCCUUUUAAGGUACACUUCCGUUUUCUGUAGCUCGGACUCGGCAUGCUGGAGGUUUCAGAAGCGUCACAUUUUUUUUAAACUGGUUAAUAAAGUAUUUUCUAUAAAUCUGAGUUUUAUGUAAACAAUUUUGGACUGUAAGUUCUAUUUUAAAUACUGUGGUAUGAAAUUUUGUGUUAAAUGCAAAUAGACGUUAUUUGGUUUGAACAAUUGUAUUUUGGAAUAUCGAGUUUUGAUAACUGAAAAUUUUUACGUAACCUAAAUACUGUAAUUUUUUUCGGGUUGUUUUGUAAAAUUUUCCUACGAUCACUUCGGUGAUCAAUGUAACCUUCAAGAUUCGGUCCAAACUUCUAGGCCGGGUUUUGAGGCGUUACACCAACGCAGGGAAAACAAACCGUAUGUUGAGCAACACACUCAAUGAUAAAUCCUAUGAUACAAGUUAACAUAAACAUAAUUAUGCAAUGCACAUAAUUUAAUUUAAUUCCAUUCAUAAUCAAAUUUCGUACUAUUUUCAUUAAUUACAUCAAAUUCCAAUAAAUCAUGCUUACUCCUAUCUUAAUCACCUAAUCAAAUGUAUAUUCAUGCUACUUAUUCAAUUCCAUUCACAAUUUUCAUUCACAAUUCUAAUUAUCACCAUGGUAACUAAGCUUAUCAAACAUAUCAAAAAUAUGAUUACAAUCCUUUAGUAUACUUUACUUAUUCACAUAUGCCCAAUUUCAAGUAUCGUAUCAACAAUUCUGAGUCUAUAGCUUGGUCUUAUUCAAGUAACCCUUGGGCUUAUUUUCAACUCAAUUCAUACGGCAUCAUAUUUCACAUUUCCAUUUCAUUUCAUUCCACAAUCAUUUGAACAAUUCUUUUAUUUUUAACCCUGUUAACUAUACACAGACUCGGCACGGAUAUACAGGCCUGUCACCCCGAGUUGCCCGACAAUAAUGUUUAUCUCAACUUAAUUAAUUUGUUAUCUCGGGUUGCCCGGAAGCGAUGACUCAAGCAUAAUGUCUACCACUAUGGAUUUCCCGACAAUGAUGGUCUUACUCAGUACUCUGACCCUAUUGCAUACCAACUAUAUCCGACACAGUCCGAACAACUAAUAAGGUAACCAAUUUCCGUUUCAUUACAUAUAGAUCAAAUCACGUUCUUUUAUUAUCACUUUAUCAUCAAACUAUUAAUUUAUCAUAUAUCACUACAUGUUUCAAUUCAAUUUCAUACCAAAUAUCUAUUACCAAUCAAAUUCAUAAAUUUUUAUUUUAUUCAACUUAGUCCUUAACUCGAUAUGUAAUCUCAAAUAUACCAAAUCAGCUUAAAUAGUCAUCACUGACUUACCUCAAUGAUGUAUGAUGUAAAAUAUGAAAAUGCAACAAUUAAAUGAGUCUUGAAUCAUAGAAAUACAAAUCACAAAUUUCAAGCUAAUCGUCAACGAUAGAGGUGCUCAUGGGUCAGGUCGGGCCCAACCAAAAUUUUAGGCCCGUUUGAUAGGCAUGGGCCCAACCCGACUUGAAAAAUGGGCCUAAAAUUUUGUCCAAGCUCGACCCAUAUAAAAAUGUUAAAAUCCGGGUUCGACCCAAAUUAAUUUUUUAUAUUAUUUUUUAUAUAAAAUUUAUUUUUAAAAUAUAAUACAUCAAAAAUACUAAAAACAUUAAAAUAAAUGUUUCCCAAUAAAUUGAAAAUAAAUUUUUAAAAAAAUAUGUAUACUUAAAUAACACUAAGAUAGGUGCAAUUUAACAAGCAAAUGCCUCUAAAAUAAUAAUAAAAUUAACAAUAAAACACGAGUUAUACAAUAACAACAAAAUAGUAGCAACAUAAUAGAGAAAAAACAACAAGAAAAUAGAAAAAAGAGAGAGUAAAAAACAGAAACAAAAAAUUGUAGUUUUUUUUACAUAUUUGGGUUGGGCCGAAAAGACCUUAGGCCAGACCUAUUUUCUAAAUAGGUCUUAUUUUUUCUAAAGCCCAUAUUUCAGGCCUAUGUUUUUAUCCAAACCUUUCCACUUUUCGGGUAAGCCUUUGAGACAGGUUGGGUGGUCCGACCCAUGAGCAGUUCCAGUCAACGACUUUGGAUUUUCCUUUCCCUCUCGACGAAUCUGAGUCGAUGUUUGCUACGGAUUAACAUAAAACAUAUAGUACUAUCAAUAAUCAUCCAAUUCAUAAUCAAUUAUCAAUUUAUAAAAAAAUUAAUUUAUUCAAUUUAGUCCCUAAAACCGAGACUAACAUAACUUCUAAAUUAAAGCUUCAAAUUGAAUCCCGAUUUCACUAUUACUGAUUAGGGACCUCCUAUUUCUUAUUUUUACAACCAAUUUUACAUUUUAUUUAGUUUGGUCCCUAAUGUACAAAACUAUCAAUUAAGCUUUACAAUUUAGUCCUUUUUCACAUCUAAGCUUAAAAUCUAUCUACUUAACACCUAAAACUUCAAGAACUCAACAAUGGAAACUUCCUAAAACUUUAAAAGUUUUGCAAAUUGGUACAUGGACUAGCUAAAUCAAGCUCCUAUGACCUCAAAUCCAUAAAAAUUACAAGAAAAUGACUAAAUUGCACAUACCAAAUUAGGGUUGAAAACUUCAAAAUUCUUUAGAUUUUCUUUCUUCUUGUUUCAGUGUUUAAGAAGAAGAUGAUGAUAGCAUUCAUCUUUUUCUUCCACUAUCUUUAAUAUAUGUAUAUAUUAGUAAAUAAACUUUAAAUUAAUUAAGUUAAAAGCCAUUUAAUCAACCGUCCACUAGCAUAUAUAUUAGUAUGGUCUAAUUGCUAUUUUAAACAUUUGGUUAAUUGUAAUUUAAUUUUUCAAUUAAAAAUUUAUAGUGAUUAGACUUCACAAUUUAGUCCUUGAAUCUUAAUUAAUCAUUAAUUCGACAAAAAUUAUCUAUUCAAAAUUCAAUUUACUUAUAUAAUAACUCCAUAAAUAUUUAUGGGCUCGAUUUACAGAGACGAGGUUUUAGUCUUGAAACCCCCUUUUUCGACACCACUAGAAAUUGGGUCAUUACAAAAAGUGUUUUAACUCUAUUUGAAAUAUUAAUGACCAAAUUUAGCUCAAGAAAGAAAAAUAAAGACCAAAUUGAUAAAAUAUAUAAAUGCUAAAAGCUAAAUUUAUCAUUAGACCACAUUAAUAUGCUUUAUUGUAAAAGAAAGAAAAGGAUUGUAAGCUUCUUCUUUUUUCUUUUAAAUCUUUUAUUUUUUUUAUUACAGAAAUUUGGGAUAAAACAAAAUGAAAACAAAAGGAGUGAUAUUUUUAAAAUAUAAAAUAACUUUUAUAUACUUAUUGAUAGUAUGGUUUUUAGUUCAUGUUUUGUGUUGGGUUGAUUAUUUAUUCGUGUUAAAUAAGAGAGUAAAAAAUUGAAGGUUAAAAUAUUCUCUAAGUCUCUACACACUUACAUAUUUGGAAUUUUGGUCUCCCUACUUUUAUUUUCAAGAAUUUAAUCCCUCUACUUUUCGAAUUUAAAAAUUUAAGUUUAGUUGUUACCACCAUUAAAUUUCUUCUAUUAAAUUCUUUGGUAUGACAUUUUGAAAUUUAAAAAUCACUUGGUAGCCAUGUAAUAAUAAAAAUGAUGUUGAAAAUAUUGAUUAUGAUUUCUUAAAAAUACUCAUUCAAACUCGAUCGUCAUUAUAAAAUAAUUUUUUUUUAUGUUGGGAUAGUGUUCUUAAGAAAAAUUGACGCUGGUCAUGAGUUUUAAAGGCGAGAAUCGAACCCUCGAUCACUAGUUAAGAUAGAUGAGACCCUUAUAAUCUUCAUGGUUAAAGUCACAAUCAUUAUUAAUAUAAUUCUUGUAAUUGUACAAAAAAAAAAAUAAAACUUACAAUAAUACUAAUUCAUGAAGUGAUGAAUAUUCUACAAAGAUCCAUAAAUUUGAGUCAAAUAAACUUGAAUUAUUAUUUAACAAUAAAUUAUUUAAGGUUAACUAUAAACUAUAAUACUUAAAGAUAAAAUGCUUUUUAAUAUUCUAUUAUUUUAUAUAAUAAAUAACUUAAAUAAUAGUAUAAAUCCCUUAAUGCAAUGUGCAGUAAUGAAUUUGAGUGAAGAGCUGAAGUGUAUUGCUUACUUUGAAAUUUUAUUGAAGUUAAAAGAUUAAAAAGGUUUGAUUUAAAUGAGUUUUUAAUGUUCUCAUUCCUUUUAUGCAAUUAUAUGCAAUCAUUUUAGGCUUAAUACCUCUACUCUUGGGAUUUUAAAUUUGUUAAUUUAGCUUGUCUUAAAUUUAAUCAUUUAGUUUCCUUUAAUUAAAUACAUUUUUUUUGCAUUUUUAGUUCUUUUAAAAUAUUAAUAAUUUAAUUUAAGUUAUUCUAAUGUAAAACAUUUGGCUUCUUACACUAAUUCAAUUAAGAAAUUUUAAUAAAAAAAUAAUAUUAUUGAAAUAAUGGUGUUUUUGUGUUUUACUAUUUUUUAUUUGAAAUGUUAAAAUAAAACAACGAAAAAUGCAAUGUCUAAACCUAAAAAAUAUUUAACCAUUUCACCUAUACAUCAACUAUUAACUUUUUUAUAAAUAUGAAUUCAAUAUUAUAUUUUUCUUUCACUUGUAUUGUCAAUCUAACAAAAUCUAGUAAACAACAAUAUACCCCUUCACAUGAAAUUUUGAUUGAAUCAAUUAUUCAAAGUACCGUAUAAUACAUGAAUUACAUAAAUAAAUAAGAGAGGAUGAAUGGUAUGAUGUAUCAAAUGAGUACAUGAAUCCCAUUAAACAUAUACUAAUAACCCUUUAGGUACCUACUCAAAGUAUAUGUAUACCAAUAAAUUCAUCCAUAAUGAGAUUUAACUUUAAAUUUUUAAAAUUUUGAAAUUAAUUUUUUGCUAUUAAAGCUAAACUUUAUAGAAAUAAAAAUUUAGGGCAAGAUUUAUAAACAUAAAUAAGUUUUUAUAAACCAUUAAUAGAAUUAGGUAAGUUAUUUUAGCAUUUCCUAGAAACUUGAAGUACAGAAUUAACAUAAAGAAAAAACCGAUGCCCCCAAAGCAAGAAACAAAAUACAGCAAAUUGGGUUGAACAAAGUGGAGAAUUGUAGAUACUAUUAAGGCAAACAAACAAAAGGAGAUCGACCGGAUUUGACGAACAUGAUGAUUACCAUGCAAAUGGCAGUUUUGUUCACAAUUCAUAGUAAAGUAUUACAGCUUACAAUCAAAACAACAUCCUGAGCUAUUCUCUUUUUAUGUUUUCCCCCUAGAAUCUUUUUUUUUUUUAAUCAAUGCAUCAAUUGGAGCGAGUACAGUAAUUAAUUCUUCACAUUCUAUAAGUCCAUUAAGACAAUAGACAUUGAUAAUGAGUUUUAAAGCUAUUCCAUACUCAAUACGAAAAUAAAACUCUCGACUACUGGUUAAGGUAGAAAAGACUCGUACCUUCUCACCUAACAUCCAUGAUUAAAGCCCAAUCAUUAUUAAUAUAAUUUUUGUAAUUGUACAAAAAUUAGGGCUUACAGUAAUACUGGUUCAAGAGACGGACAUUCCACAAAGAUCUAUAAAUUCAAAUUCAUUAAACUGGAAUUACUAUUUAAUAAAAAAAUAUUUAAAGUUAAUUAAGAUAAAACACUUUUAAUGUUCUAUUAUUUUAUAUAAUAAAUAAUUUAAAUAAUAGUAUAUAUAAUAUUUAUAAAAUAAUUUUUAAUAUUAAAUUAUUAGACAAAAUAAUUAUUGGAUUAGGUUGGGUUAAAAUGAUUGAAAAAGACUUCAGGUUAAACUCAUGAACAAAGCUCCUAUAGAUGAUAAAUUAUAAUUCCACCAUCAUAGAAUAAUACUAUGAAAAUUCUCUUUUAUAUAUAGAAUAAAAAAAUAUUUUAUUUAUUAAAAGAAGGAUAUACCACAAUCUAUCAACUUUGUUCAUGGCAUAUAUAUGUAUAUAUGUGAAACAAUAAUUACAUUAACAAUCACCAAAAUAAAUGUAGCUGCCUUGGUAUUGACACCCUCUAAACUAUAAAUAGAGCUAUGGAUUUCUUACAGAUUUCACCAACAAGAGUUAAGUCAAAUAAAAGAAGAAGAAAAAAAAUGAAAGGGGUGGCAUGUACAUGGAUGCUACUCUCCAUGUGCCUUUUGGGGCAUCUCAUAAUAUAUGGAGAAGCCAACGAGGCAGAAGUCCUUGGUGACUUUCUUAAGUCCAGAUUGUCAAAGAAACCAUCUCCGACGGUGCAUUCUUGGGCAUGGUUAAAUGAGAAAACUGGGAAUUAUCCUAAUUAUAUUCAGCCUCAAGAUGGAUCCAUGGAGGCUGAUAAAAUCGGUGCAUUGCCUGGUCAACCUAAUGUUGUUGAUUUCAACCAUUAUUCAGGAUAUGUGACUGUUGAUUCUAAGGCUGGAAGAGCACUUUUCUACUAUUUUGCCGAGUCCCCCAACAACUCUUCCACAAAUCCAUUGGUUUUAUGGCUCAAUGGAGGUAUGGUUAUUGUCAAUUAUCAAUCGUUCUUCAUAUUUUCAUUUUACUUUUAAUGUUUCAAUCACAAGAAAAUUCUUUAAUUUUUCAUCCGGUUCCAAAGGUCGAGCUAGCAUUGCUUAAUUUAGAUCGACUUGGAUAAGAACAAUUUAAUAUCGAUUUGUUAAUUACUUUAUUUAUUUUUAAUUAUAAAAAUUUAUAAAUAUUAAUUUUUUUAAUUUUUAAUUAUAAGGUGAUAAUGGAUUCAAGUCGACAUACUGAAUUAUACUAAGCCAAAAAGAAGCUUGAACAAUUCAAACUGCAUCCAUGAACCAAUUCAUAGACAAAUUUAUUUUAUAAGUGAAGAGAUAAUGUUAUUUUUAAUAAAGGAUACAAAAUAUAAAUAUAAAAAUAUGGUGUUUUUAUCUAACAUACACUUUGAAAGUAUGGUCCUAACUUUAACAACUUCUAUUAAACUAAACAACUUGUUAAUUAGACAUCAUCUUUGGUUUCAUUUUUGGCAUUUUCAGGACCAGGAUGUUCUUCAUUAAUCGGAGCAAUGACGGAAUUAGGUCCUUUUAGAGUAAACAAUGAUGGCGAAACACUAUUCCGUAACAAUUUUGCAUGGAACAAUGGUCUUAUUUCUUCCUUUACUAUAAUCUACAUUUACAUUGUUAAUAGUAUAAACUAACUACAUUUUGGUUGAACUUUGACAGUGGCGAAUGUAAUCUUCUUGGAAUCACCAGCUGGAGUAGGCUUUUCCUAUUCGAAUACUUCCUCAGAUUACCAACAUACAGGUGACAAGAGCACUGCAAGAGAUGCCUAUACCUUUCUUAUCAACUGGCUCGAGAGGUUCCCUCAAUAUAAAACUCGAGAUUUCUACAUUACCGGAGAGAGUUACGCUGGUCACUAUGUGCCUCAGCUUGCUUACACCAUUUUUCUCAACAACAAGAAAGCAAAUCAAACCUUAAUUAAUCUUAAAGGCAUAGCAGUAUGUUCAAAUACGAAAUCAAUAUUAUUACAUGAAAUUCUCAUUUUAAAUUAUUUUUAAUAUACGUAUAUGAUUUGCAUUUGAAUAUAUUAAUCAUAUCCAUAUUAAAUAAGUAUACAAAUGUAAUGAUUUUGACCUAACUUUUCUUAUCGAUGGCAAAAUUUUUAGGUUGGGAAUGGUUGGAUUGAUGAUCAUACAGGCUAUUGGGGCCAAUUUGACUAUUUAUGGACACAUGCUUUGAAUUCAGAUGAAACUAACAAAGGAAUCCACACCUAUUGCCACUAUUUUAAUGAUAAAGAUCCAAAAGAGUGCGGUGACUUCGUAAUCAAAGCCUAUAAUGAGCCUGGUGAUAUUGAUGGAUAUAACAUUUAUGCCCCACUUUGUCAGCAAGAUUCUUCAUCAAUAAAAAACUCAUAUGAUUCGGUAAGUCAUCUUACUUUGUUACAUUAAUGGCUCCUAGUUAGAUAACAGGAUUUUGAAAUUUGAAAUUUAUUUUUCUCAUCAUCCAUUCAUUUAGGUUAGUAUUAAACACAAUAAAUAUUUUGUUGUUUGAAUUUUUUUUUCAAGAAGAAAGAAAAAGGGAUUGCAAGAUCGAUUUUCGAACUCUUACCUAUUGAAUUAUGUUGCUUUAGUUGUUUAUUGAUCUUAGAGUACUAUAUGACCAUUCCAUUAAUUCUCAAAAUACAUAAAAGAAUUCCAAUCUGAAUAGUAUAAUUGUUGAGUGCCACCUCUUAAAAGUGACAACAUUAACAAUUGGCUUGAAUCACUGAUUAUUCUUCUAAGUAGUUUUUAAUAUGAUCAAGGUUAACGUCUAAUGUAAUUAGACAAGUCUAAUAAGAAGCAAAAGUUGCAACCAUGGCAAAAAUAUUUAUAUUGAAAUAAUUUUCAAGAGAUGUUUAGAUAAAUUUGUAAUAACAUGGUAAUAUGAUUCUCAUUUCAGGUAAACAAUUUCGAUCCAUGUUCAACCUACUAUAUGUCGUCUUAUCUGAAUAGAGCAGAGGUCCAAACAGCUCUCCAUGCUAAGGUUUCAACAUGGGAUCUAUGCAGGUUGUAUCUAUGAUCCUGCUCUUUUGUCGCGGCUUCUAAAUUAAGAUUAUUAAGUUUGUUUUUUGUUAGUAUUUAUUUUAAUAUAUUUUAUAAUGUUAUAUCACUCAGCCACUCAAUUGAUAGUUGGAUUGAUAGUCCAGCCACUAUCUUACCUAUCAUCAAGAAUCUGAUGACAAGUGGUCUUCAAAUUUGGUUAUAUAGGUAAAAGCUCAGCUUACUUUUAUUUAGCAUAUUUGGACAUUUAUAACUUUUCUCCUACAACUAAUUAAGAUGGGAAAAUGUUGCAGUGGUGACGUAGAUUCAGUAGUCCCAAUUACCUCAACCAGGUAUGCUAUACAGAAACUCAAGCUUCCUGUCAAGGCUGCUUGGCGUCCAUGGUCCACCAACGACGAGGUAAAAACAAAACUUAAAUAUUACCAUUUUAUGCCUCUCUCUAUAACAUUUGAUACUUAAUUUAUUUUCUUUAAAAUAAAGUCAUAUUCUAUUAACAAGUUACCUCAACGAAUCAGUGUUAGGCUGACUUUACCUGAUCAAUUAAUACUAAGUUAUCAUACCUCAAAUCAACUACCUUCUUAGAUGCAAAUAUGACUUUCAACUUAACACUUGUUAUGGAUUUUCUUUUACAUAAGUAUACGUUUCGAGUUAUAACCAUUUUGCCUGAAAUUGUUGAAUGAGAACAAGCAGGUUGGAGGAUAUGUGGAGGAAUAUGAAGGGCUGACAUUGGUGACAGUGAGAGACGCAGGCCAUUUAGUUCCAAGCUACCAACCAGCUCGUGCUCUUACCAUGAUUUCAUCUUUCCUUCAAGGAGCUUUACCUCCGGCAUGAUCAUUUCAAAGCAACAUCAAUAGAUGAUUGAGCUAAUGAUUUUCUAUUUCAAAUAAUAAUAAUAAUAAAGGUACAUGAGACAAAUAUAAUGUUCGAAUGAUGAGCUUAUGUGUAUUGUUUAUUUUGAAAUUUGAUUUAUCUUAAAAAGAUUAAAAGGGUUUGAUUUAAAUGUGUGUUUUCUGUUGUCAUUUCUUUUAUGCCUAUACUUAUACUAAUUGAAUUAUGAUUAAAUGGUUUAUAUUUUAAAAAAUAAUUGAAUUAUAAAUAUAUCAAAUUAUAACAAAUGUUCAAUUUUAUGUGCCACAUAACAAUAAUUAUAAUUAUUCAAAAGAAUUUAACAAAUAGCAAAUAAUUAGUGAACAACCAAAUGAAGAACUUAAUAAUGCAUCCAAAAUAAAUUUAAACAACAAAACAUUAUAAAUUACUUUAAUUUCUAGCACACAUUUUAACCAUCCAUGCAAUUCAAAAAGUAGAAAAUAUUACCAUCAAAUUAGAAUUUAAACCUAAUGAAACAAGUAUCUUUAACCAAUCUUAGAUCAACCAAAAUAAAAAAAAAAUUCAGAUUUAAAAAUUUAGAUGCAAUUAAUUUUUUUUUUUAAAUUUGUUGGAAUGACAUCCUAAAAUUAGAAAAAGGAACCCAUUUGAUAAUUAUGUAAUAGAAAAUGACAUUAUAAUAGAUCUGAAUUGAAUUUUAUAAAGAAUUUCAACCGUGUUAAGAAUUCUUAAAAUUAAUGUUAGUAUUUUAAUCAAAAUAAAGUAUUUAAAUUAUCUAAUGGCAUUGUACAUGUUGAGGUACCAAUUUAUGCCAAAAAUUAAAGUAUAAUGAUUAAAUCUUAAAUUUAAGUGGAGUAUAAGGAUAGAAAUUGAAACUAAUCUAAAACAAUAGAGGGAUCAUAAUUAAAAUUAUAAGGUAAAAAGAAAAAGAAACGUGACUAAGAGAGAGGGAAGUGGAUGGUUUGGGAAGAAGGAAAAUUAGGGAACUUUAUUAUUUAAAAAAAAUAAAAAUAAAAAAAGAAUAAAUCAAGAAGAGUUUGAUAAAAUCUAACCCACCAGCACAUUUAGAGUUUAAAGUUACCCAAACUACUAACAAAGGACAAAAAGAAAUCCCCUCUUUACACACACCAAAACAAACACUUCAUGAUGUUAACCACCUAACCAAAUUAAACUACUUAACAUGUUUCAAGCAAUUUAAAUAAAAGAAAGUUGGGUAGUUACACACUAGAUCCAACACUAGAACCUUUGGUGCAUCUCUCACUUUCAUGGAGCAUCCUCAGCAUGCAAAAUAGGCAACUCUGGGUAUGUCAUCCCAUUUGCUACUUUAUUUGCUCAAGCACCCUCUGUUGAGAAUUCGUCCGGAUGGUUUUGAGGUAGGUCACUUUAUAACAUACCUCUUGACUAAAUGGGAUAUUUGUUAUACCCUUACCCCAACAAUGACAUGUGGCUGAACAUAGGGCAGUUUGGAAAGAACCCCCAUUGGAUGUGACCUACAAGUGAUCAUUUGUUUGAUACCUUUUAUGGUGGCCCUUCGACUAAUCCAUGACCAACCAUUCGCAAAUCCUACUUGAACCAGCUAAGACACCAUCCGCUAUGAACCUUUCCAUGGGGACUACUGGGAGACCAUUGAGGCAUAGCAACAUCGUACAACCUCCGUAAGGAGAAUGUUAGAGCAAGACCACAUAGUACAACACAUGCUAACAAUUGUUCUACAAUGGCCCUACCACCUAGCCGACCACAUGGGCUAACCUACCAUCCAUAUUGUCAGCCACAUGGCACUACCCCUCAUAUAUACCCUUGAACAUGAUGGGCAAAGGAUCCUAUCUUUUUCCCCAAGAAAACCUAAAUAUCUUUGCAACUAUCUCCUAUUUCCGUCUCCCUUCUUUCUCCUCUCCUCUCCCUUUAAUCUCUUACCCAUACUUCGACUCUCUAUCUAUCACAAGUGAACCGAUCCUCCAAUCACCACUGUCUUCUCUUCCUUAUCUCCCUUUUGUUAAGCAUUUGUAUCAACACAAAAAAUAGAAGGAUGGGAGGUAGAAUUAGACCAUCAUUUUGUACAUGUAGAAAAAUAGAUUACAUAUAUCUCAUCAUAUAAGCAUCAAUAUGUAUCUUACAAGAAAUUUUUAUUGAAUCAAUAAUUCAAUGUACCAUAUGAUACAUAGAUUACAUAAACAGGAGAGGAUAAAUAAUACCAUGUACUACAUGAGUACAUGAAUCCCAUAAAGCAUACUAAUGAUCCUUUAUGUAUUUAGUCAUUCACAACAUGAAAAAUGCUAUAUUACAAUAAAUUCAUACUUGAUGAGAUUUAUCUUUAAAAUUUUGAAAUUUUUAAUAUGUUUUUUUACCAUUAAAUCAAAAUUUUAUCAGAAUAAAAAUUUGAUGUGAAAGAAUUUAUAAACAUAAAUAAAUUUUUAUAAACUCAUAAACAUAAAUUAUUAAUUCAAUCAAUUUGGUUAAUUGAUUUUUUUAAAAUAAUAAGUGAUCGAAUUCUUCAAAAUGUUUUUUUUUUAAUGAAAGAUGUAGUUCUGAUUUAAUUAUUAACUGAAAUAAUCGAAAUAUUUAAUUAAGUUAGCUAAGUUAUUUUAGCAUUUUCUAAAAAAUUGAAUUACAAAAUUAACAGAUAAGUUGGAAGAAAAAAAAAUGAUGCCUCCAAAGCCAGAAACAGAAUACAGCAAAUUGGGUUGAACGAAGUGUUGAUUUGUCGAUACUAUGCAAAUGAUAGCUUUGUUAUAUAUUAAUGUAAUUCUUGUAAUUGUAUUUUCUAGGGAAAAAAAUUCCUUGCAAUUGUACAAAUAUUAGAGCUUAAAUUCGACAAAGAUUUUAUAAAUUCGAGUAAGUUGGACUUGAAUUAUUAUUUAAUGACAAAAAAAUAUUUAAGGUUAAUUAUAAAAUAAUAAUGAAUGAAGGAGAAAUAAUAUAAAAAUAAUGAAUUUUUAAAAAAUAACAACAAUUUAUUUAUUUUAAUUAUUAUCAUAAAACUUCAACCUGUGUUAUCUAAGUGCCACAUAACACUGUUCCAAGUAAAAUUUGAUAUAAGAUAAACUAAUGAAAAUAUAAAUUAUUAUGUAAAUUAAAUUUUGGUUGCAUAGGUAAGAUUGAAUUUUUAGAAUGUUAUGGACCAAGUUCAAAACCUUAAAAAAAUAUUUUUAUUUUAUUUUUAAAAAAAAUUAAGAUUUGUUUUUUAAAAAAAAAAUUAACUUUAGACUAAAACGUAGACUUAAUAAUUUUAGUGACUUUGAGAAUAAUUUAUUUUUUAAAAGUUUCAUCAUUUAAUACUUUUUUUUAAAUUAGGAUAAUGUUUGAUUGAUUUGAGGCAAACAAGUCUGUGAGUCACUUAAUUACUAAUAUAAAUAAUAUUUAUAUAAAAUAAUUCCUAGUAUUCUACUAGUUAUAAAAAAAUAUUAUUGGAUUAGUUGAAAAAGACUUCAAGUUCAACUCAUCAACAAAUCUAAAUGAUUAAUUAUUAUCUCAUUGAAAAUUUUCUUUUAAAAAACAGAAUAAAAAUAAUUAUUUUAUUUAUUAAAAGAAGGAUAUACGACAAUUUAUCAACUUUUUUCAUGAUAUAUAUAUAAAUGGCUACAUAUAUGAGGGCAAUUUACCAAUAAAAGCCGUUUUUUUAAAAAUUACCGAAAUGGGCCUAUUAUUUAAUUAUUUACCAGAAUGAUCUAUUUUCCGGCAAAUCGCGUCCACAUCAGCACAAUGUCAGGGGGCGCGAUUUGUUGCCACGUCAGCAAAGCGCUCUGACGUGGCCGCGAUUUCCUUACACGUAACGCGUUCCGGGGAACGCGAUUUUGCCGUGUUUUCCACGUUAGGUUUUUUUGGCUUUUAGGGUUUAGGGUUCAGGCUUUUUAGGGUUUUUACGUCCUGGAAGAAAUAAUUUCGAGUUAACGUUUCUGAUCAAAUAGUAUAAAAUCGCUUCUAGUAGGAUGCUAUUUGAGAAGAAUUUGUGAAAUCCUCGUGGACACGCUUUUGCUACAGUAGGUCAUGGAUGAAAUAAUUUUUUUUGACGUUUCUGAGCAAAUAGUAUAAAAUCGAUUCUAGCAGGAUGCUAUUUGAGACGAAUUAGUGAAAUCGCGCCCUCGUGGACGCGCUUUUGCUACAGUAGGUCAUGGAAGAAAUAUUUUUUUUUGACGUUUCUGAGCAAAUAGUAUAAAAUCGCUUCUAGCAGGAUGCUAUUUGAGAAGAGUUUGUGAAAUCACGGCUUCGUGGACGCGUUUUUGCUACAGUAGCAUGUUUGGGCUGAGGCUAUAAAUUAGGCAGAAAAUGUUCUCAGAAUGCAUAAGUCACAACAGAAACAAUUUAGAGAGGCUAAGAAGGUUAGAGUUUCAAAUAUGAGUGAACGUAUUAAUGUUGUUAUUUACUACAAUGGUGAGGUUUGCCACACCAAGAAUGGUGUUAUUUUUUUGUCGGAGAAUACGGUGCAACUAUUUUUUAACUGGAACAUAGAUUUAACAGAACUUCGUAAAAGAAUUAGGCGUAAAAUUUUCGGAACGACGCCAAUGAAAGUUCUGUCUAUCACGUAUCGAUUUUGUUCUUCUGUUGAUCUGGUGACAUAUGACUCGUUCGACAUAAAAAGUGCUCGUAGCUUGGAGGCAAUGGUGCAGACUCAUCUUGCUAGUGGAGCACAUUAUAUUGAGUUAUAUGUACAAUUUACAUCGCCAAGUGAUGUACUUGCGACCAGUGUUCGAGAUGUAUACACGACCCUUGGCCGACACUCGGUUAGCGGGUUACAAAAUACGGAACAGCCCAUGUUGGGUAGCGGUGUCGAAUGCACAUCCCCUGCAAGACACUCUGUCGGUGGAUGAGACAUGUACGUCGAUGGCUCGAUGUUUGAUGCUGGAAAUACGUAUUGGGGAACGGCAUCAAGUUCUAAUAGGUGGAAUUCUACAUCCAAUUGGGGACAUUAUCAAAUACCCAGAAGAAGGGAUAAUGUACUCCCUACGACGUCAACCGGUGAGGGGACCUCGUACGCUGCAGAUGAUUGUGGGUUAGGAGAUGAGUCUGAUGUGGAUCCACCUCGAGAACCCGGGCUGAAUGGUGCAGAAGUUAGCUUAUUUUUUGAACCGGAGCCUAUUCCAACAGAACCUGAAGAUGCUGAAAGGAGUUCAGAUGAAGAAGAAAAUCCACGAUUCAGAGCAUACUCACCUCCAGCCCACAUGCAUAAUAUCGAUCUGUCUGCAGAUGAUGCGUUAGAGUUUCCAGAUCUACCACACUGGUUGUGUGAUCGUACAAGUUCGGGGGUAGAUUCCGAUGAAUUUGAAGUUGGUAAUCAGUUUACCAACAAGGAUAGUUUUAUUCGUGCUUUGAAACAACAUAGCAUCAAAAACGGCGUUAACUACCACGUCGUUAAAUCCAAAUCUGAUAAGUUUAAGGCGAAGUGUGCGGUCCAAGACGGCACAUGUUCAUGGAAAAUCUAUGUCUCGUUAAGGAAAAGGAUAGGGUUGUGGGAGAUCAAAAAGUACAAAGGUCCACAUACAUGUGCUACAGGUAUAGUAUUGACGGUUUCUGAAUAAUACUUUUAUUAUGCAAUGUUGCAUUAUUUAAUGUACUCGGUUUACAGGUGUUUCACAAGAUCAUCCCAAGAUGGAUUCAGCUAUGUUAGCUAGCUUGAUACUGCCCACGGUAAAAGCAGAUCCCAAGACUUCAGUGCCGGUGUUAAUUGCCACUAUCCGUAGCCAAAUGGGGUACACGCCCUCUUACCGCAAGGCUUGGAUAGCUAAGCAAAAGAUAUUGGAGAAGAUGCAUAGUGGGUGGGACGCCUCAUAUAAUGAAAUAUUGCAGUGGUGUCAGGUGCUAGAGAGAUACGUCCCAGGUGCCAUCACAAACCUUGAAACGGAACAUGCGUACUACAACGGCCGAUUGCUACGUGGAUGCGAAGUGUUCAAACGUCUGUUUUGGACCUUUAAACAAUACCGAGACGCAUUUCCAUACUGCAAGCCGUUGGUACAAAUCAACCGUGCCCAUGAUUGCAGUAGUGACAGGCAACCUCCGAUUUUUGCUCUCCUCGGUAGCGUCACCCUGCACAUAUCCCGAUAUAACGUUGCCAAGACGGUAGACCCCCAACUCAAUUCACCAGCUACUCUAAAAUCAACGAGUUUCAGCAGCCAUCUUAGAUGUACGCGGCUCUGUGACAUGUCGGGCAUCAGAUAACCUCCAAUUAAUUGAAGAAUGUAUGCCCGAGCUUAUCGAAUUCUUUCAAUUUCGUUUGAAUCUUCAUCUGGAUUAGGGAAUGUGUCACGUAACCAACCCAUCUCGAUCUUACCUCCCUCUAUUUUCUCCGGAAUAGCGCUCAAAAGCUCGUAGCACACCGCCCCUAAUCGCUAGAUUAGGCAGACCAGGUGACUGGAUACCCGUCCACCGACAAUCCCAAUUGCAGACUGACAUCUUCUAGAGUGAUAGUGCACUCUCCACAUGGAAGAUGGAAUGUACGCGUCCUGGGUCUCCACCUCUCGAUCAAUGCACUGAUUAGUUUCGGGUCCACCUUGUAUCCCCGGCCUACCGUCGUCACGUGCCAAAAACCUGCUUCUCGCAGGUAGUUCUCUACCAACGGUGAUGGAGGAGCAUGCAUAUUUCGGAUAUUGCAUUCCAAUACCCGAUCUACAGACUUUUAUAACAAAUAAUAAAUUAAUAAUUAUCUAAAAAUACAUUAAUAAAAAAUUCUUAAAUAAUAUUUAAAAAUUAAAUUUAACACUUACCAUUUUCAUUUGUUCCACCGAUAUGUGAUGCUUAUCAAUACGAGUCAAUUCUCCGGCCAUUGCUGAAAUCGUACAAAUUUUUAUGGUUUAAAAAAUUUUUAAAAAUAUUUUUAAAAUUAUUUAAAAAAGGGAGUUAAGAUAAAUUUAAGAGGACCUUGAGAGAAAAUUGAAAUUAAAUAUGGAUUUGAGAGAAUUUUUGAGGAAAUUGAGAGGAAAUUGAAAGGAAAUUUGAGAAAGGAUUAGUUUGUGAAAAAAAAGGAGUGGGGGGUAUUUAUAGUUUUUUUUUACCGUUGGGGGGGGCAACGAUCAAAUUUUUGACCGUUGGAGCACUGUUCAUGCGCGGAACAAAUCGCAGCCACAUUAGCGCGCUGUGCUGACGUGGCAGCAAAUCGCGUCCUAGAGGGCGCGAUUUGUUGCCAUGUCAGCAAAGCGCGCUGACAUGGAAGCGAUUUCCUAGCGCGUCCCCUGACAUAGUGCUGACGUGGACGCGAUUUGUCAGAAAAUGGACUAUUCCGAUAAAUAAUUAAAUAAUGGGCCCAUUUCGGUAAUUUUUUUAAAAAAUGGCUUUUUUGUGUAAAUUGCCCCAUAUAUGAAAUAACAAUUGCAUUAUUAAUCGCCAAAAUAAAAUCUAGUUGUCUUAAUCUUGACGCCCUCUAAACUAUAAAUAAGAUUAGAAUUUCUUACAGAUUUCACCAAUAACAAUAAAGUCAAACAAUAGAAAAAAAGAUGAAAAGGGUGUCAUAUACAUGGAUGCUACUCUCCAUAUGCCUUUUGUGGCAUCUCAUAAUAUAUGGAGAAGCUAAUGAGGCAGAAGUCCUUAAUAACUUUCUCAAGUCCAGAUUGUCAAAGAAACCAUCUCCGGUAGUGCAUUCUUGGGCAUGGUUGAAUGAGAAAACUGGGAAUUAUCCUAAUUAUAUUCAGCCUCAAGAUGGAUCCAUGGAGACUGAUAAAAUUAGUGCAUUGCCUGGUCAACAUAAUGGUGUUGAUUUCAACCAUUAUACAGGAUGUGUGACUGUUGAUUCUAAGGCUGGUAGAGCACUUUUCUACUAUUUUGUCGAGUCACCAGACAACUCUUCCACAAAUCCAUUGGUUUUAUGGCUCAAUGGAGGUAUGGUUAUUGUCAAUCAUCUAUCGUUAUGAGUCAUUGUGUAUACUCUAAUCAUUCUUCAUAUUUGCAUUUUACUUUUUAAUGUUUCAAUCACAUGAAAAUUCUUUAAUUUUUCAUCUGGUUUAUAUUAAAUCCACCAAAAGAAAGAGCUAACAUUGCUUAAUUUGGAUAGGCUUGGAUUUUUUAUUUUGAUUUAUUAAUAAAAAAUAGUUUUACUUUAAAUUUAAUUAUACGAAUUUAAUUGAUACAAUGCCUAGAACUAAAUGCGCUUUAACCCGUUCGAACCCAUGUUCUUCUACUGCCAACAAUGUCGAUAUCAUCCAAGCUAAGACUCAAUCAGCUAAUUGUAAGAAUUUAUCAAUAUUAGUAUUUUUUAAAAAAAUUAAUUAUAACAUGAUAAUGGAUUCAAGCCGACAAACUGAAUUAAAUUAGACCAAAAACAAGUCUAGACAAUUCAGACUACAUCCUAGUACGAACCAAUUCAUGGACAAAUUUAUUUUACAAGUGAAGAGAUAAUAUUUUCUUUUUUUAUGAAGGAGAAUAAGAGGGCAUUUUUUACCUAACAUACACUUUGAGAGUAUGGUCCUAAAACAAUUUCUAUUAAACUAAACAACAUGUUAAUUAAUCCUCAUCUUUGGUUUAAUUUCCAACAAUUUCAGGACCAGGAUGCUCUUCAUUAAUUGGAGCAAUGACGGAAUUAGCCCUUUCAGAGUAAAUAAUGAUGGCGAAACACUUUUUCGUAACAAUUUUGCAUGGAACAAUGGUCUUACUUCUUCCUUUAAGAUGGUCUAUAUUUACAUUGUUACUACUAGAAAUUAACUAUAUUUUGAUUGAACUUUGACAGUGGCAAACAUUAUCUUCUUAGAAUCACCAGUUGGAGUAGGCUUUUCAUAUUCGAAUACCUCCACUGAUUAUCAACAUACAGGUGAUAAGAGCACUGCAAAAGAUGCGUAUGCCUUUCUUGUCAACUGGCUUGAGAGGUUCCCUCGAUAUGAAACCCGAGAUUUCUACAUUACCGGAGAGAGUUACACUGGCCACUAUGUGCCUCAACUUGCUUAUACCAUUUUUCUCAACAACAAGAAUGCAAAUCAAACCCUAAUUAAUCUUAAAGGCAUAGCAGUAUGUUCAAAUACGAAAUUAACAUUAUUACUCGAACUUUUCAUUUUAAAUUGUAUUUAAUGUAUGUAUUUGAAUAUAUUAAGCAUACCCAUACGAAAUAAGCAUUAGAUAACUAUACAAAUGUAAUGAUUUUGACCUAACUUGGUGGUAAAUUUGUAGGUUGGGAAUGGUUGGAUCGAUGACAGUACAAAUGCUUUGGGCCGAUUUGAUUAUUUAUGAACACAUGCUUUGAAUUCAGAUGAAACUAAUAAAGGAAUCCACACCUAUUGUCACUAUUUAAACGGUAAAGAUCCAAAAGAGUGUGGUAACUUCAAAUCCAAAGCGUAUAAUGAGUUUGGUGAUAUUAAUCGGUAUAACAUUUAUGCGCUGCUUUGUCAACAAAAUUCUUCAUCAAUAAAAACUUCAUACUGUUCGGUAAGUCUUACUUUCUUACAUUAAUGACUCACUAUUAGAUAACCAAAUGUACCCAUUGUCGAAACCAACUUUUUAUUUUUGGAAAAAAAACAAAAAUUAGUUGUCGAUUAAAAUUUGGAGUCGCCACCAAUAUUUUAUUAAGGUGUGAUUGGGUCACCUAAAAACGACUUUGGUCUACGAAUUUUAGAAAAACGGGUCCGGGAGUCGGUUACGUAUGAGAAAGGAUUAGCACCCUCAUAACGCCCAAAAAUUGGUACCUAGUUAAUUAAUUAAUGUCUUAAUGUCGAAAAUUUGAAAAUAUAUAAUCCUUAGCAAAAACUUAAAAACGUUACAUAUUAAGACCCUUAUCAUUUCAGAGAAAGAAAAUGUCACACCCAAUGCGUUAGGGCACGAAAUUCUAAUUUCCUCAAAAAUGAAUUAGACCAGAAUACUCGUGUAAUAAAAAUUUAAAAGAAUAUCUAUUUAUUCAAGAUUUAAGAAAUCGCGACCCAAUACGUUAGGGCACAAUUCCUCCAAAAUCCAAACUUGAAAUAUUUCCUUUAUUAUUUUUUUAGAGAAAAUCUUCAUUUCGAGAAAUCAAUGCGUCACAUCCAAUACGUUAGGACACAACGUGUUGAAUUCCCAAUAAUGAGUUCUUAUUUUUUUGAUUAAAGAGAAAUACUCGAUUGUUAGAUUUAACGAAGAAAAUCAGAACCCAAUACAUUAGGGCCCAAUUUCCUUGAAAAUCCUAAAUACAAGCAUUAUCUCAAUUUUGAAAAGUUUGAAAUCGAGUAAAAAAAUGAUGUGAUGCUACAUUAAAUAUACAAUGCAAUAAUAAAUAUUACAAUGGCAUAGAAAUAAUAUGAAUAAAUGAAUAAACAAAAUCGAUAACAUGCAAAGUAUCAAAUAAAUAAACAAAAUAAAAAAUAUUCUUUUAAAAUAUAAAUGACAACCUAAAUCAAUAAACAAAUGGAGGAAAUAAACAAAAAUAUAAAGAAUAAGAGGUACAAAAUAUAUAUACAUUUGAAAUUAUGAAAAACAAGAUAAAAAUAUCAAAGUAUGUAUAUGUAUAUAUUUACAAAAUAAAAAAGGUGUAUAAGUAUAUAUUGGUAAAUCAUGAAAAUACAUAUAUAUAAGUAUUUAAACACUUAUAUAUAUGUACAAUAUGUAUAUACAUAACGGAAUAUAUAGAAUAAAAAAAACUUAUAAUGAUUUAAAAGUAAAAUAACAAAAAUGUAUAUACUAUAGAAAAUGAAUAUAAAAAAACCAUAUGUAUAAAAUAUAUAUAGGUAGACGUAUACUGUAAAAAAAAGCAUAUAUAUAUUAUAUAAAAAACCAAUGCGUGCAUACUAUAUAAAAAAUGCAUAUAUAUAUUAUAUAAAAAACGCGUGCAUACUAUAUAUAAAAAUGCGUAUAUAUAUUAUUAUAAAAAAUGUGUAUGUAUAUAUAUAGUAAUAAUAAUAAUAAUAAUAAUAAUAAUAAUAACAAUAAUAAUUAUAAAAAUAAUAAUAACAAUGUUAACAAAAUAAACUAAAGAAACCUAAAAUGAAAGAUUAAAGAUUAAACUGAAAACUAAACGGAGUUAAAAGGCUGAAUUUAAAGAUAGAAAACACUAAAGGGGACUAAAUUAAAACGCGCGCAACAGGGGGAGGACCCAAAGGGGAAUUAAUCCCACCCUCCAAAAAGCUGCGUCUUAAUAAGGACCAAAGUGAAACAAAAAUAAAACGUGUGGCUGAAUUUAAAAGAAAUAAAAGAAAAUGAUUAAACAUACUUCAAAAAACAAAGGACCCAAUAGAUAAAUAGCCCACCAAGGGUCCAAACAGGCAAAUCCAUAGCCAUUAAACGACACUAUUUUUCAAACCCCAAAAAACUUUUAACAAACAUUUCAUUUCAUUUUCUUCAAAAACAGAGAAGGGAGGGGAGAACUCUCUGCUAGGGUUUUCUUAACCCAAACCCCAGCCACACCACUGCCAUGACGCCGCCCACAGCACCACCCUUGACGGCAGUUUGAAGGGACCGAACCAAAGGUAAGCACCUCCAUUCUUUUUUUUCUUAUUAUUUUCUACUAUUAGAAGAUAUAAAAACAUGUAAACAAAAUCGAAAGAAAAAAAAACUCUAAAAACGACGAAAAUCACCUUUCCAAAAAAAUGUUUUCUGAUUCUUUGUUCUUGUAUUUUUUCAAUUCAACAUUCCUUUCCCGCUUUUCCUUUUUUUUAUUUGAUUUCCCCCCUUUUUAUAUUUUAAGAGAAAAAAUAAAAAAAAAGUAAAUAAUAAAUAAUAAAUAAAAUCAAACACCCACAAAGUAAACUAAAAAAUAAUCACCUCCGUUUUCCAAAAAUUUUGAAUCUGUUUUCUUUUCUUUGUAUUCUCUUUCGUUCCAAAAAAAAAAUCCUCUGUUACAAUGUUUGAGUCUGCUUUUUAUAGCAGACCAAUGAAAAAAAAGAAAAAAGGUAUGAAAUUUCUAUUGCAUCUUUGCUUGCUGAAUUUCCUCCGAGUUUCUCGUUAUUCUGCCGAUUCUAUCUUGUUGCCUUUCUUGUCGUGCAGGUGAAGGCGGCUCGUGCAAGGCGCUUGGAUGCGGUGCUAAAGACUCCCUUAGAAACCCUAGGGUUUCUUCAUUUGUUUUGGGGCACUUGUAUUUUGGGCCUUGUAUUCUGGGCCAGCUUGUUAAAAUACUGGAUUUUUUUAUUUUAUUUUUAUUUAUAAAAGGGCCGGGUAAAAUUUAGGUAUUACACUCAUGAAUUUGAGAUUCAUUUUUUCUCAUCAUCCCUACAUUGAGGUCAAUAUUAAACACAAUAGUAAUUUGGUUGUUUGAAUUCUUUCUUCCUUUUUCAAAGAUCGAAACAAGGAUUGCAAAAGCAUCUACUCAACUAUGUUGCUUCAACUCUUUAUUUAUUUUGAAGUGCUUUUGUAUAAUGCGUAUUCAAAUAUAAAAGAUAUGAUCAUUUCAUUUAGGGUUUAGAAUUUAAGAUCAAGAACUUACAAAAUCAUUCGAAUUUGAAUAAUAUAAUUGCUAGUGCUCCCUGUUACAAGUAGCAACAAAAGCAAUUGGCUUGAAUCUUUGAUUAUUCUUCUACAUAGUUUUUAAUUUGAUCAUGGUUCACGUCUAAUGAAAUCGGACAAAUAAAAUAAGAAGCAAAAGAUGCGAUCAUGGAAAUAACAUUUAUUAUUGGAAUAGUUUUCAAGAGAUUUUUGGACAAAUUUGUAGAAACAUAGUCAUAUGAUUCUCAUUUCAGGUAAGCAAUUUCGAUCCAUGUUCAAACCACUAUUUGUAUUCUUAUCUGCAUAGAGCAGAGGUUCAAACAGCUCUCCAUACUAAGGUUUCAAAAUGGGAUCUAUGCAGGUUAUAUCCAUCAUCUUGCUCUUUUGUCGUGAGUUCAUUAUUAAUGUUUUUUGAGAGUAUUAUGUAACUAAAAUAUCAUAUUAUAUUAUAUCACUCAGCGACUCAAUUAAUAGUUGGAGUGAUACCCCAACCACUGUCUUACCUAUCAUCAAGAAUCUGAUGGCAAGUGGUCUCAAAAUCUGGUUAUAUAGGUAAAAUAUUUUACAAAUUUGAAUUGUGGAUUUAGUUUAAUUGAUUUAUGCAAUCGUUUUAAGAAAUAUCGUUAGAUAAAUUUGAUUUUAAAUCUCAAUGUUUAACUUGACUGAUAUAAUCAUCUUGGCAUUUGAGAUGGUUGGAUUUGAAUGUCAGCAAGAACUUUUCUCCCACCCCUACGCUACAUCAAGUUCAAUAUUUAGAACUAAUUAAGAUGGGAAAAUGUUGCAGUGGUGACGUAGAUUCAGUUGUCCCAAUUAGGUAUGCUAUAAAUAAGCUCAAGCUUCCCGUCAAGACUGCUUGGCGUCCAUGGUCCAUCAACGACGAGGUAAAAACAAAACUCAAAUAUUAACAUCAUUAAUCUAUCGCACAUCAAAUCAAAUACUCCUUUAAAUGUUGAUAUGACAUUCAACUCAACGCUUGUUAUGAUUUUUCUUUUUCAUAAGUAUACGUUUUUUUGCUGAAAUUGCUGAAUGGAAACAAGCAGGUUGGAGGAUAUGUGGAGGAAUAUGAGGGGCUAACUUCGGUGACAGUGAGAGACGCAGGCCAUUUUGUUCCAAGCUACCAACCAGCUCGUGCUCUUACCAUGAUUUCAUCGUUCCUUCAAGGAGUUCUGCCUCCACCAUGAUCAUUUCAAAGCAAUAUCUAUAGAUGAUUAUGUAAAUGGUUUUCUAUAUUUUAAGUAAAUGAGACGAAUAUACCUUAAUGCAAUGUGCAUUAAUGAACUUGAGUGAAGACUUGAUGUGUAUUGCUUACUUUGAAAUUUUAUUGAAGUUAAAAAGGUUUGAUUUAAAUGUGUUUUUUUAAUGUUCUCAUUCUUUUUAUGCAAUUAUAUGUUUCUAUUAAGCAAUCAUUGCCAAUAUAUGCAAUCAUUUUAGGCUUAAUACCUCUACUCUUGGAAUUUUAAAUUUAUUAAUUUAGCUUAUCUCAAAUUUAAUCAUUUAGUUUUAUCCAUUUUAGUCCUUUAAUUAAAUAACUUUUUUUGCAUUUUUAGAUCUUCUAAAAUAUUAAUAAUUUAAUUUAAGUUAUUCUAAUAUAAAACAUUUGGCUUCCUACCCCUCAAAAAUUUUAAUUUUAUCUCCGCCAUCUUAGUUUCACCCUUGAUAUGUGACAUUCUAAUAUUCAAAUGUAUGAUUUAGUUAUUAAAGUCUAAAUGAUGACACAUUCAAAUUUAAUGGAAGUCAAUUAAUAGUGUUAUCAAUUGAACUUUAAUUUGAAAUCAGACAAAUGGAGGAACUAAAUUUCUGGAUUUAAAAGCAGAGGGAUUAAUUUUUAAAAGUUCAAAGAGUACAAGGAUUGGAGGCAAAACUAGACCAUCAUUUUGCAAAUGUAGAUGUAAUACCCAAAUUUUUCCCGGCCCGAGCCCAACUAUUAAAACCCAAAUAUGAAAAAAUAUAUAAAAUAAAUAAUAAAAUGUCCAAUUUUUCAUUACACCAGCAGGCCCAAAAUAGCCCAAUCCAAAUUUCCUAAUAUUCAACCUAGUCAGCCCAAUACACCACCUAAUCACAUACCAGAAAUUAAAUAAUAAAACCCAAAAUACAUUACCCAAGCCCAAACCCGAAUACAUCAAGCCCAAACAACCCAAAAUCAGAAACCCUAGUGGUUUCUAGACUAAUUUGGUGAAGCCGCAGCAGACCCCUGCUUCAGCGCCGUAGAUGAAUCCAACAAACCUCGCGCGUGCAUCGCCACUAGGCGCGUGCAUCAUCUCCACACAGAUGCGCCUCCAGGCUGGCCGAGUACCUACAAGUAAACACACGAAAACGAGAGCAAAAGAAAAUAACAGAAUAACAAGGACGGGGCAAUUUUCCUUUUAUUUAUUUUUAUUUUCUUUUCCUCUGUAAAAAAUUCAGGCUAUAAAAAAGCCAAGAAUAGACUGUAAACAGUCCGCAUUCAGAGAAAUUGAAUACAAAAAAACUCAUUUUCAGAGAAAAGAAAAAUUCGAAAGGUGAUAAUUAAUCUUUUCUUUGUUAUUUUUUUUCUGCUCCGUUGUUCAUUGAUUAAUAUUGAAGUAGAAAAGAAAAAAGAGCGAGGAACUUACCUGACCGUCGUUCGCUCCGUCACAAUUGGAGCUGGGCGAGGGUUGAAGGUCCCAUAAGCAGUACGUUCCAAAAUGUGGCGUCGAGGAUCUGUUCAUCUUAAGUCUCUGCUUUUCUUUUUUUUAGGAAGAAGAGUCUGUUUAAAUUAGGGUUAUUUUAGUUUUUAUGUCUAGCUAGAAACGGCGUCGUUUGAGGCCGGACCUUGUGGUCUCAAAACGGCGUCGUGUGAUGCUGGUAUCCGCGCGGUGACCCGACCCGGGGCAGGAUCCGCGCGUUUUCGUUCGUCGGUCUAUUUGCGAAAUGAGUCCCUCUAUGUUUUAUAUAGUUUCAAUCUAAUUUUCUUCAGUGUUUUUAAUUUGUACCGUAUAUUUAAUUUUGUUUUCAUUUGGAUCCAAGCCUAAACGGCACCGUUUUCUGGGAUUGAUUUUUAUUAUUCAGGUUUUGCGUUUAAUUUCUGAUUUAGUCCUUCAACGUUGAAAUAGGUUUCAAUUUAAUGCAAAUUUAGUUUUCUUUUUUUAAUUCAAUAAUAUUUUUA
Molecule: long non-coding RNA, 48510 nt
Filed under: Gossypium barbadense (sea-island cotton)
Lineage: Eukaryota; Viridiplantae; Streptophyta; Magnoliopsida; Malvales; Malvaceae
Description: long non-coding RNA (GBAR_LNC017780)
Rfam family: MIR7486 microRNA precursor family (bases 40144-40230)
Source: RNAcentral